GGGAGAUUCGCAUCAUGGAUGUGCAGCCGACAAAUCUGCGGCAACUGUGUGAUGCCAUCAUGUCAAUAUGGACCAAGCUCUCUGAGGAAUGCUUCCAGCACCUUGUUGAAUCUAUGCCACGAAGAAUUGAGGCAGUUCUGAAGGCAAAAGGGGGUCCAACCCGUUACUAGCAUGGUGUACCUAAUAAAGUGGCCGGUGAGUGUAUAUAUCUGUGUCUGUUGGACAAUAAUCAGUGGUUGUUGCUUAGAAAUAUGUCACAACUAGAAAAGAACUCUGAGAGCGCAGACCUCCGCCAAGCAGCUCGUGUCCCCCCUUCUCACACCAAAACUUUUACAGUUACGUGUCUUUUAUUAACUUUUAUUUGUGUUUAAACUGGUAUUUUCACUGUUCAUAAUGUUCCUAAAACAACAAAGCUCAUAUUAGAUACAAAUAUUGCAUAAUAAAUCAUGCAUUUAUGUAAGCGCACACUUCCUUGUAUCUUCAUUGGUUAUCUUUCAGCAUUGAAAAUUCCAACGACACCCUUAUUUUUGUGUGUUCUGGAUCACAGUAUCCAGAAUUUUGUCUGGAUCAGGAUCAACCUUUGACAACUCAUAAAACUCAUUGAGAUCCUUUUGUGUAAUUUUUUACUAAAGACUCUGGCCAUUUUUUACAGAGUUAAAUGCAAAAAUUCCAAAAUUUGCCCUAUCUCACAAUGAUCAAGAAUCCUUCAAAAAAUUCCUGGAUCCAGAAGGUGAUCCGGAUCAUCACCAAAAUGUAAUGGGAUCCUCCUGGGGCUGAGACGCACCUCUGGUGAAAAAUUCAGGUCAAUCUGUCAGUUACUUUCUCCGUAAAGUUUCUAACAGACAAACAAACCAACGCUACCGAAAACAUAACCUCCUUGGCGGAGGUAAUGAGAUGCAAAAAUAUCUAAAUUCACAGCCAAUGCACUGAACUACAAGUCAAGUCCCAAUGAGCUGAUCAGUGUGCUGGAGGCAGAAGAACAUGUGUGCGCCUUAUCCGUACAUGGAUGUUUCUUUUACCAUAAUGUAAAGCUAUGGAAAUGUUCUAUACAGAGUCUACACUUUAAAGUGACAUUAAUGUUAUGAUUUGACUUUCUUGAAAUGAUCUGAACUCAUUGAUCUCUAUUGGGGAAAUCUUUGGUCAUAACAGCUGUAUGUGAUGGAUAUAGAAGGUACAGCAAAGGUAUGAAGAAGCAGAUAAACACGGUGCAUGAACUGCUCAAUUAGUCCUUUUCAAGUCUUUGGACGUCUCAAAGUGCUUAUAAAUUACAUGUUGCAUUCACCUUUUCUCAAUCACAUUCAAAUACUGAUGGCAGGGGGCACUACCUUAAAUGUCAGCGCUAAUUAUGGUCCCAUUUAUUCAGAUAAAAAUGUCUAUCUAUGCUUUUGCAAUCUGGUGACAACUGUCUUGUUCGAAGACACUCAAAAAUGUAGACUGCAGAGACUAGAAGACAAAAUGCUAACUUAAGAACUGAGACAGCCCACUUUACCGUCAUGCCACAGUCGAAUGGUUGAAUUGGUGAAUGGAUGAGUCAACUGCGGUGGGAUAUUUGUGGCUUUUAAGCAAACAAGAGUUGACAUCACAAAGAAGACUGGCAUGGCUGAGUCAUAAUAAAGGUCUGAAAAACAAGUAGAUAGAUAAAUGGAAAACAUAAAAUAGAAGAGUGUUUGUGAAUGUCCAAGCGACGUUAAUAAACAAGAAAAGAAGGGUAGAAUAUUACUUUGUCAUAACCGGACAGGUAAUUUUCGUAGCAUUUGAUUUGCAACAAUAAAAGUAUCUCAAUAAAUUUGCCAAUCAUUCACUCUCUCAUUGAAUCCGUCUGUCCACAUUGAUAUUCUCCAGACAUCUUAAUAGAAAGGAAGCACUGAUCAAUCCCACUCUCCAAUCAAACAUGAGAUGCAAAUGAGCAGCCAAACGAUUCAUUAUUUUUAAUUCUUCAUCUGAUUUUGGGGGGAAUUGUGUUUGCUGAACAAUGAAAUACUUAUUAGCAUCCCAGACAAAAGACAUAGUGAGUGACAGGAUUAUAUUUAAACAAAGCCAGUGGUUAAUCACUUCUCUCUGCAUGAGGGCACACAGCCUAGUAUUUGUUCUUUAUCUCUAAUUAAACAGAAUUACAUUUCCUGACACACUGUAAAAGCCUGGGCGGGUUUCAGACCUAACAACAAACUAAUGCACAACAUUUUCGAGGAAAUGGGGUUCACAGAGGUAAAACACAAUCAAAUAGUCAGAGUCAUCCACAAAAGGCUAUGAGACGCUGUCAUGGCUCAGUGUGUAGUGCCUCUUAAACUGCAGCUGACAAAUAAAAACCUUGUUUUCAAUAGUUUCAAGCCUUUUAGUAAUAUACACUGCUGCCUCCCGCUGCUUGUAAAUUGCCAUUUAGCACUACUUCAGCUUUACUUUGCUGCUUUUGAUUCAAGCCACUUAAUUUUCACAAACAACAUAUUACAAAUGAGUAUGCUUUGUGCAACCCUAACACGUCACAUAUGUACCACUUAAGUUGUUAAAUCCCUGUAAGUAUUGUUAAUGUGUAAAAGUAUAGGCUGUUAUAGAAAGCUUGACAGUAGAAAAAAAUGGAUGGUAGGAAAUACUGUGUUCUUUAAACGCCUUAAUUUUACAGAUUUCGAGGCAUGACCUGGGGCUUGAUUUUACUGAUUAAUUUGUGUUUGUUGAUAAAGAUGAUUUUUGAAACUAAAACCCUAGAUUUUGUCUUCAACUUCCUCCAUCAAUUAUCUUGGGCUCAUAGACUGUAUAUAAAAUGGACAGCGUCUGCUACGUCACUGGGUGAAGCCACACUCAGAACAGCACCCUCUGUUGACAGGCUGCAGUAUAGGUCAUAAAUCCCGCCUCUGCCAGCCAUCCUUAUGAAGGUGUGGACAAACUUUAGAAAUUUAUUACACAGAAUAUAAACUUUUUCUCCACCCUGCUUGUGAUGUGACAUGUAGUUAAUAAGGCAGAAUCAAGUUGUUCAUUCUAUAUACAGUCUAUGCUUGGGCUGCAGCGGAUGGAAUCCUCCCUGCAAAGUUUGAACAAUCAAUAUAUUUCAACAUAGGCAUGCAGGUGGGUGGGAUGAGAUGCACAAGAUCCCUGCAGCCCCCAAACACUCAUUAAAAAGCAGACAACUUUACUGCCAUGAUUUUUCCAUUGUUUGACAUAUGACAAGAAAGGGACACGUGGAAAGCUACCAAUGAUGCAGUCUGAGGAUAUCAUAUUUUAUUUUUACUUGAUAAAUAACCCUAUCUUCUGGCAAGCAGCUGGCUAAUUGUAAGAGGCUUCAGUGUAGGCAAAUGUCAGGUCCAAGAUUUAAGGUCCAUCUGUGCACAAUGCCAUGAUGACGAGCCUUAUUUUCUUUGGUCUGGACCCAAGGGUUUAGUAUGAUGCUUUGUGCAUGCUUCACGUAGGAGGUGAGUUUGCUGCAUGAUGGCUACAAGGCAAUGUGAUUUUCAUUUCGGUAUGUUAAAGGGAUAUUCCAGCGUAAAAUUAAUUUAGGGUAAAACACAGCAUAACACAGAGUUAGACACCCCCUCAGGCAAAUCCAUUACGGACUACAGCGGGGUGACGCAGCUCAAGGAAGAACAUUUAUGAUCAUUUCUUCAUGGAAAUGCAAUAAGACCAAGACGCUAAGGCAGAAGAACUACCACGUCUGCAGUGCAAAAUGAUUAUGAUGAUGAUUAUUACUUCAAGGAAAUGAUCAUAAAUGUUCUUCCUUGAGCUGUGUCACCCCACUGUAGUCCGUAAUGGACCCACCCGAAGUCUUGCUACAAACAAGCGGCUGCUGGAAGAGAGUGGGUGAGUUGUGUUUAGUCUUUGUCUUUGCUAAAGAAAUCGGGCAAAGUUAAAAAGAUCUUUGGUGGCUAGUGCUGUGGCUGGGACCCUAUAUGUACUGUUGAUGAAGUUAGAAGCUGUUCUGAGCAUUAUUUGUGGCUAUAGAGUGGCGUUUUGGUUGAGGUUUGUUUAUGGCUCCUCAGACCGCUGUGUAUUGCUAUCCUGCGGUCGUUACUAAAGUUGGUAAGCAGAGAAGCAAGCGGUCGGCAACAUUAAUCUCUCGAGGGGGUGUCUAACUCGGUGUUAAGUGUGUUUGACCCUAAAUUAAUUUCACGCCGGAAUAUCCCUUUAACAGACAUGAUCACUGAAGCUGCUGGCAUCUCAUGAGCAGGAAAUCUAGGGAAUGGGAGAACUUUCUAUUUCUUUUCCACAAACUGAGUUACACAUAAAUCUUGGUCAAAAUAGACAGAAAAACGUUUAGUUGAGAGUUUGGCUUCAUAUCAUUCAUUCAUUUAUGUUACAUGUUUGUAAAAUAAAGUAGAGCAAAGUUAUGCAGCCAACAUACUUCCUGUUUAAAGUACCAGUAGGUGGCAAAGCUGUACCUCCAUUCUUAUAUAAAACAUUCAUAAUUCAUUGGAUUACCCGGAUUAGUUAGCAAUAUUUGUUUUGGAAAAAGAAAUGCCAAUCAAAAAGUUUUCUGAGUAGACUGUUCAUGUUUUCGUCUGCAAAUUAUACACUUACACUGAGAAGUCACACUUUAUCUUGAGGUGUAUGGAUAACCUGUCAGUCUGCAAUUGCAAGCAUCACAUGUUUUUGCUUGGUAAUAUUAAGAGGAGUUAUAAAUAUUUCAGGCUGUUGACAGCAGUGAGCGCAAUAUAUGAAUAAAAGCUGCUCCAAAAACAAAUAGCUUCAGAGGAAUAUUACAAGGUCGUGUCUCGAGUUGAAGUGCAGAAUAAAUACACAAGAUUUUUCAGUGCUUCCUUUGAGUUUAUCUGUUCUGAAUGCCACACAGGAAGCUGAAUUUGUACAGUGAAUGGUGAUGGAUAAGGUGUGACAGAGAGGUGACUAAUAGCACUCCGUCACAAAGGUGGCAUCCAAAUCAAGCAGCCCCUUGAAUGACAAGGAGUGAUAGAACGCCUCAGAUCAAAACGGUUGAUAUUCAGUGCCUCGCAUGGAGCCAACACACAUUUAUCACUCUCAGUGAUACUGUCUCCUCCUCAUCCCCAGAUGAACCUGAGAUGAGUCAUUUCCCACAGAGCCACACAACCAUGCCUAGAAUCUAAAGGAAACCAAAAAGAAAACUAAACUUGACAUAUAUUCAACAGAAAAACAUGACAUGACGGUUCAAGAGAGUUAAUCAAUAUGUGGUUUAAUGCAACGAUAUCUUCAUUUUACUCUUGUGAAAUAAUCUAUAGGGGGUUUGCCUCCUAUUAAGCUCUAAGGUUUCAAGGAUCUGGGACACGGCCAGGGGUCGGUUGAUCAAAUUCUAAGAUAAUUUUCCCUUGAUUUACACCAAUGAGAACUUGAAUGAUUUUUCCACGUAUUGAUCUAAACACGGUUGAUAUUUCAUGUCAACUGGCUUCUGAAUAGAUCUGAAGGAUAAUGGUGAUAUUUUAACAAAUCUGCCUUAUUUUUGUACCUAUUUUUGGGGUCUGAACGUUAUAAACUUUUACAGCCAACAGCUGGAAAACAUGCUGUAAUGGCUGAGAAUUAGGAACGUCAGUGCCAACCAUGGCUUACACAGAAGCUUUGUCAGCGAUAUCACCAGUUGGUUUAUAAAGCAGAAUUCUGGAGUCUAUCCAGGAAAUUGCUUUACUGGAAAUGCUGACUCUACUUAACUUAUGGUCAACCCAACAAGAGACUAACAGUCGAAGUAUGCCCACCUGUCAUUCAAGUCAGGCAUGCCCUGAGUUAUGAUAAACUUGCAACCGUAAUAUCGUAAAAAAGGAUGUGCAGAAAGAUCAUUGGACUGUUCAGACCAAAAUAAUAAUAAUAAUAAUAAUAAAAUAAAUAAAUAAAUAAAACAAAAUAAAAUCAAUAAUAAUAAUAAUAAUAUAAGAAACAUGUAUUUUUGGUGGAAAUAUGGGCUUUGUAGAAUGGCUUGUUUGGUGUCUGGGGCUUUUUUAGACAGUCUCUAGUGGACACCUAUGGAACUGCAGUUUUUGGCACUUGGGCGUUUGCCUUAUUUCUUUACAGUGGAGGUUGCAGCUUUGUGUCAACACAUUACACAUGAUUAAAAAAAUACCUUUUUAAUCACCAAAUUAUUGUUUUACGUCACUGGGCAGCUGCAUCACAAAAAGGUGUUAAAGUCAAAGCACUAUUUUGAAGUGUGUGAGUUGCUUUAGACCUGUAAAUGAAAGUAAAUCAAGGCCGUUAUGAGCGCUAGCUGAAAGGGUGGCAAUUUACCACAGGCCAGUCACCACUUUUGAGACUCAUCAUGUUGUAAUAUGCCGAAAUAGGCCGUGUCACACAUAUAAGACCUGUAUUAAAUAGAAUAUUCUCAAACUGGAACUGUUUAUAGUGAGGUACUUUUGGUUUGUGUCAAUUUUGGUGCCCCUUUAGAAAAAGCUGUCCUUGCUUAUCGUGUCCUCUAAAUGCCUCGGAAGUGUCAUCUGAUGGAAAAUUUUACCCUCAGAAUUAGUGCACACCAAACAAACUCUGAUUUGACAUUUUGUACAUGCACUUCAGUUUCUUAAUAUUCCUCAAGGAUAACACUUUAAAACAUUAAGACUUAAUACUAAGGUCUUGAAAGGUUUCUCAUUCUACCUCUGACAUGGUGCAGCAUUUGUUUGAAUAACAAACCUAAUAUCCAAAAUCAUGAAAUAUUUUUCACUCAAUUUCCAAAUGAAGAUACUGGUAAGACGAAAUUCUGCAAAUCAUUGUGUUUCAAAAAAUGAAUGGCCUUUUAGACCCACUGAAAGUUUUCUUUCUGGGGCAUCUAAAGUUCAGUUUUUUGCAAACACAGACAUGGGUGGUUAAUCUGAGUAUUUGCUAUUAUAACAGAAAACAUCACUAUGAAAUAAUAAUGCAUUGUCUAGAGACAGCAUUAACAAUAUUGACUUCAAAUCCACCUGACUUCACUGAUUGAAUCAGUUCAUUUACAUUGCAGAUCUAUUGUGGGGGAUUAUUGGCAAUCUGGCAGUCUAGUGCUGCUAGUUAUUUGUAAUAUAUUUGACAUUUCCAUCUCCAAAUUGAGCAUUUUUUGAAUUUUAUAUUCUUAAACAAACAUUUCAACAACAAGAACUUUUAGUAGAUGUACAUUGCACCUAACUUUACACUUUAUUAUACACGUUUUACUGCUGCUGGCUAAGGCAAGCCACUGGAAUAAGUUCAAAAUGUUUAAACGGUAAUAAUAAGACCAAAAAUACUCCAAAAACAGCCCAUGGUUAAAAAACAGAUAUUCUCUUUAAUUAUAAAAGAAAUAUUCUACAUCAAAUGCGCUCUGAUAUUCUCUGAUAUUAAAUUAGAUAGGCAUCAAACACCAGGUCCGACCACAUAAUUUGAUAACCUCUAGCUCUUAUGAGUCUACACAAGAAAUUCUAUUUCCUGAUGUUUCACUUUUUAAUUUCUGCAUUUACCAACCUCUGUGACGAGACAAUUAGGACGAAACUGAAAAUUAGAAUUCCUUCACACUCUCAAAGGCUUCUCUCACAUGAGACUGCCGCGUGACACUCCAUGAAUCUAUUUAAAAACCUGUGAAUAAAAAGAGAUCACCAUCACCAUCACCAGCAGCAGCAGCACAGUGCACCACCAAUUAAUGGACAGCAGGGAUCAAAGAGAUUAGCUGUAUACAUCUACUGUAAGCCAGUGUAGUGCUUUUCACAGUUCACACCUUCCACCUUUGAAAUCACAUUUUCUCCCUGCGAUGAUUGAUGCACUACAUGAUCGGAGCUGAUAGGACAUCUCCUUGGAUUCGCUCGGGUAUUAGACAUAUUGACAAAAAAAAAACCCUGCAGCAAUAGAACAGUGCCCUUCCUAAACCUGGUUCAGACUAUGACUUAUGUAGAUGAAAAAGACUUUUAUUUGCGUUUAUAAAAAAUAAAAUCAGGGUUCAUAUGGCAAAUGACAGAAAGCACUGAAGCAUGUGUUGAAGCUACAUGGACGUCCUAGAUGAGGGCUUUGAUUUGCUAAUGCUUUACUAAACAACCCCAGAUUGUUUGAAAUGGACUCAUGAAAAGCAGCGUAAAAAAAAUAUUCUCAAACAUAAGUGACCACUCUAUUUCUAAAGACACUUAAUCAAGAAGAAAACUGUCCUCUGGAUGGAUUUAGCAUAAUUCCACAGUUAAUCUCCUUUUACUCUAAGGUGCCUGAUUAACAGCAACAGAUACAGGCAAAAAUCUCAACAGUGUCAGCUUGUCUUACUAGAAACAGCUGUGCUCUACACUGAAGUGAUAAAGUAGUUGCAUAAAGCAAUCACUCCUAUCAGAUAUUCUUUCCCCUGUAUAGAGGAAGUAAAGCGUCUCUCUAAAAGGCAGCGAACCACACAACAGCAGCAUGGAAAACAAGUCAAGCUAUUAUUGAUAAUUUCUUGCUUACUUAUAGGUUUUUAUGUUGAGUAAAGUAGAUAUAUUAAAGUCAAAUGAUGAAGGCUUGACAAAUAAUGAUAGAUAUUAAAAACAAGACACAAUAAGAAAAAGAAAAGUGGAUGUCUAUGUCUCCGUUUUGUUCGCUUGUUUAUACUUAGGGCAGGGAGGGUCAAGGAUUUACAUUCUUAUCAAUCUUUGACGAGUUAUCUAGCGUUUACCUGUGAGCUGAGUCCCCAUUUUCACUUCGGUCCCCCAUAUCCAUCAACAGAACCAUCUGCUAUGCAUGUUUCAUGUUAACAAGCAGGGGCGAGUCCAGACCUUUUUGACUGUGGGGGCCAAGCUUCUACACUUACACCAAUGAUUUAUAGUGUUGUGUCGUUCAUGAAUGUUUUGUUCAAAUGAACAGAACUGCUGAGUGAACAACGUGACUGGAAUCAGUCCAAGACCUGAUUUUUCCUUUCUCAGUUCAGUUGAGCUCAGCCGCAAGCCUGGUGUGCCGGUCGGGAGUGAAACUGCCGCCUUUGACUCUUUGGCGAUCGACACACAGUCAGCCAGCCAGCCAGCAGGUGGGUGGCGGAGUCUCGCGAUUUGCUCACAGCAAAUGAACGAUAUGUAUCAGUCAGACUGUGAACAAAACGAACAACUUCAGAAUGACUUGAGGCAGGCAGAGGAGGCAGGUGUAGCGUUGUUCACUUACUGCUGAACACCGGUUUGUUCACUGAGACUAAGAUAAAACAGUGCAUUAUAGUUUCUUUACAUUAAUACACAUGUAUAAAAUUCCUGCAAGAAGGAUUUAAUUUCAGCCGAUUUAAAGCAGUAACCUAUUUGAUAUCUUUAAAAGUAGCAGAAUCCCCGCUACAGCUGCAGUGUUUAUUUAUUUUUAAUUACUCCACUUUUCCGCGAUAUAAAAAAACGACGACACACAAUCGUUUAGCGGGUGUGCUGCUUGCUGCUGUGUUGUUUCUGCUGACGGCGACACACAGAGAGGUGAGUUUUUCAGGACAGGGGAGUGAUUCUUCCUUCAGGACUUGGCGAAUAAACGACAUGUGUCAUCCAGUGAACGAUGCUAUUAAACAGCAGUAGGGGAGGGGAGGGGAGGGGCUCAUUCAAUGAAUGAACUCGCGGCUGUGUCACUCACUGGUGUACUGCACCAGCAGGACAGGGUUCCAAAAGACUGACUGAUUCUGGGAAGAAUCUUUUGAAUGAAUUGUUUUAAUAAACGGAUGCUAAAGAUUCAGAAUAGUCAAAAGAACUGUUUUUCCAUCACUACUGAUGUAGCAUAAGGUAAACAAGCCUAUAACGUCUAUUAUUCCAUCUGCAUUGUAACAUCUGCCAUCUCUAAUAAAGGAAAUAGCUAAAUAAGAUGUUUAGGAAUUUUUCAACAUAUUGUUCAAUGUUUGGGGGAAGACAAAAAAUGUUGAAGCUAAACUAAAAACUAAAAACUAAACUAUAAAUCGAGCUUUAACUUUUGAGAGGCUUUUAAUUGAACAAAUUUAAGUGGGGUUACUUGUCAAUAGUAAGUGCAUUUCCGUCAGAGGAUGCUGGUUGGCUCAGCUCCUUUGUUCAGAAACCAGCUGUUGGACCUUCGAUGGCAGCUAUACAAUCAACCCCUGCAGAUGGAGUCAGCUCUACCACAUCAUUUAGAUAAUUAUAAGACACUCUACCCAAACACUACUCUUUCUGUAAGUGUGCCUUUAGUUGUAAAUUUGUUGGUGCUUGACUUUGCUGUCAGAUCGCCCAUUUGUUUUUUGUUUCACUUUUCUCAGAAGCAACAUGCAAGUGUUCUUCAGCUGUGAAAAAUAGGGACACUUUGUCUUGCUCUAUUUAAUGGAAAAGGUGACCAUGUUUGAAACAAGCAGAUCUGUUUUUGUUUUGUUGUUGUUGUUGUUGUUUACUUUGUUUUAAAUCAACAUUUUACAAAGUGUUCCUGAUAUGUUCUGGUUUUUAAUUUUUUUCCUGGUUUUGUGUUUCCCUGGAGUGUUUUUUCUUUUUGAUUUUUCCUAGUGUUUCUGUUCCCCAUUGUUCCUGUUCCCCUGUAGUCCUGUCUUGUGAGUUUUCAGUUUGUGUGAGACCCCAGUUCCCUCAUGUUCUCAGUGUUUUAUUCCUAAAAUAAGUGUUCAGUGUUUCCUGUUUUAUUUUGCAGUAGCCUAUUCCCUGUGUUUCUAGUCAGUUUUCCCUCCUCUGUGAUUGUUUGCACCUGUGUCUUAGUGUCUCACCUGCCUCUCGUUGCUCGUUUCCCUGUUUAUAUAUAGCCCUUGUCUUCCCCUGUUUCUCUGUUGGUUCAUUUGUGUUGUGUGUGGUUUGCGUUGUAAGUCAGUGUCUCAAGUGUCUCCAGUGUCUUUGUGGAUUUUGGAUUUUUGGUUCAGUUGGAUUUUGCCUCUUGUGUUUUUUGGGAUUUUUGAGUUGGACAUUUGGAAAGUAAGUUUUUGUUGUUUUUAGUGCCUUUGAAAUAAAUCUGUUUUCAUUCUGCAUUUUGGGUCCUUCCCUUUUUUUUGUUUUACUGUAGGGUUGUGAUUCUUUUCACUGUUACAGGGUUUUGACUAUAUACAAUAAAGUAUUUUACAAAGCUGAGUACUUGUAAAGUACACAUACAGUGAUUCAUCUUUGAACUUGUUCUGUCUUACCUACGAAUAACAUUUUAUGCAUUCUUCUUCAAAAGACUUGAGGCAAAACACUGAUUUCAGCUUUUCAUUUGGUUAUGUCCCCCACAGCUCAUAUGAACAACUCACUUAAUGUCUAACAGGAGCCAUGACUUGUGGUGGUUCAGCACAAAUAGCAAAAGCUGCAGCCUUCAAACAAGCAAUUCAGCACUGAGGUAUGCAAACUAACGAUAAGGUAUGAGUUCCAAUAAGAGUGCAAUGCAUGGGAAGUACAGCGGGUAAUGGGCUGAAACAAAAUCAGUGCAGUCACUUUAGAUGCAAACAGCAGGCAAACAGAAGGAGAGCGAACGGUUAAUGCGACUUCAAACAGUCUGAUGAGACACAACUCUUGCCAUAACAGCGUCCAUGAGCACGCUUAUUCCCUACAAUUCACUGCAGCAUUAGUGCCAUUACAAUAUAAAGGUGUUAAUGGCAUAGAUAAUUUGAUUGUUUAGAUGUAUUAAAGUAGCAUCCAGAGGGUACAUGGGGACAUUUCCAUAUGCAGAGGUGAUUUUUAUAGCUGGAGUACAAGCAAUGACAGCCAGAAAAGCUCCAGCACUGUACAGACUGAUGGGUCUCUUUCUAUUUCUCUCUGGUGUCAUUGUAGGGACAGCUUUGAUGUUCAAUUUUUAAAUGUGCCAAUGUCAAUCGACUGACACCCAAAGGUGAGCCAGAGUGGCAUCAAAUGAUGACAGUAUGAGGAUCUCAAUCAUUAACUGCAAGAAUCAAUAAGGAAGAGAAUCUAUAUUAAAGUCAUUAAAACUGACUUAGUACGCAGUAAAUUCAGUCUGGAUUUGACUAAAGCUGCUUUGAAAUGUAAGGAUAUUAAAGGAAGACUCGAGGUAUAAUACAUUCACAUUUCCAGCAUACCUCCCUUCACAGUCUCAGGUCUUUUUUAAAACCUAUUUUUACUCCACAAACAUUAUAGAACAAACCUAAAACAAAGAGGAGGAGGUUAUAUAACUGCACUUGUUUUUUUAUAGACUCUGCUGUGAACACAGUUUUAAAAGAGGAAUAUUUCAGUAUUGAUCAUUUUUAUUACACAUACCUAUGUAACCAUGUUGUUUGCUGAAUAAAUGCAAGUGUUCAUGUCGUCCAUUUUGGGGACUGCAGUCAAAAACAAACAGGUGAAAACUCGACAAAAACACGUCAGAAGAAAUUAGUUUGAAAAAAGAAAAAAAAGAAAACUACAACUAACUCAAUUUCUGGCAUUGCUUUUAUCACUGGUACUCAUCCAGCAAACUCGUAUGUUAAAAUACACACAGACUGUGCAAGUCGAGGCUGUUUCUGACCUAAUUUUUGGGUUGCAUGACUGAUUUCGAGGUCAGGCUUCAUUGCAUGUCAUUUGCCAUGCAGUUUAAAGGGGAGCAUUGGGGUAGAUUGCACACAGACAUGCUGCUUCUGCCUGAUGGGAUGAAAUUCUGGUAUGACAGAACUUUUAGUCAGCCUCAAAUUCACUAUUGUGAUUUUUUCCCCCAAACUGCAUCUGUGUAAAAUGGUAGACAGCAUCUGAAUGCAUCAUGGAAACAUACAGUACUGUGUGGGAACAAAUAGCAACCACCCGUAACCCUUUAAGCAGAUAAUGUUUCCUUUCUUGACAAGGAGUAAGAAAUAUUCCCAUACUUAAUGUAGCAGAUGUGAAUGCUUAGUUUAACCCUGUAUUAUACAAGAAGUAUAGCUCUGUUUGGAAUUAGUUGUGUGCGUAAGAGUGCAUGGAAGGGCAAGGAAGUGACAAAAGGUGAGCAGUCGAGUUUGUGCAAAGAUAAUAAAGCGUGCAACUUCUCAAAAAUAUGCUGCAAGUAAAGUGAGAGGGAGUUAACCACAGAGUUAGUAUCAACUAGAGCACAGGAGCAGACCAGUAAGACUCCUGUGUGCUUUCUGACUAAGGUCGGGACGCAAAAGCAGGAAAGAUUAACACCUCAUUAAAGUAAUGACCAAAAUACCAUACCUUUAAAACUAAAAACUGAAAGAGAUAAGCUCAAAGAGGAACUAACUACAAAGACCGAAAGUGCCAGUUUAGCUCCUAGUUGUUUGUCCUCUGUCCUGAUUUCCCAAGUAUACUGUGAGCACUCAGCUCACACUUAAAAAAUGAACUUUAGCACUUUUGGUACAUUUUAGUCACCCAAAAAAAAUGGUUCACAUUCCAUAUUCAGCAUCUUAACACUGCCACUAAAUGCAGAGGGGGUAUUUCAUUGUGAAACAAACUGUCACUUUGCUGUGCAAGGCAGACCAGGCUGACAGAGCACACUGCAGAAUGUAAAGGAAGUCAUGGCGGGGACACCGUUUGAACCUUUACUUCUCUCAUAGCCCGCUAAAAAUGGUGCAACUUGUCUUCAGGAAUUAGCAGCACUUGCGAGCUAUAGUUGUGUAUUGUAAACCAUUUAUUCUGCUUUUCUGCCACACCAUUCAUAGAAUUGCAUGUUGUAUGUCUGGAGACUGACUCAAAUGACUAUUAUAUCCAGCUAUAGGAUAAAUAUAGUAUUUACUUUUACAGUUAAAACGGGGAUAGCCACUGUUGAGUUGUUAAGUCAUGAUGGUUUUGAUUUACUCCUGAAGAAAAAAGACAGAAAGUCUUAUUCUUUUUUGACCUCUUUUAUCCUGCAAAUACUUUCCCACUUUAUUGCAACUGUAAAAACAUAGUAUCACUGUCAGACAUGAGCAUUUAGUCCUGAGGUAGCUGGUAGCUGUAAAAGGCAGCAAAAAUAAAUAUAGUUUCUGCUGUAGCUGCUUUUCUGCUUUGCUGUAGAGAUCAUGGGAAAACGCUGGUAUUGAUUUUAGUCUGAGUCAUGGCCGGCUUAAAAAAGAAAAAUCCUCACUUAAACUUACCUGUACAUGAGUAUUCAGUUUUAGACAAAUAUUUAGUCUUAUCCACUACUUUUCAAAAACUUUCCGUACAGUUUCAAAACUGACGCUUAGGGGGGCUUUGUCUCCCACUCACUGAUGGUGAGGGAAUCAUUUCAGCAUGGGAUCAACUAUGUGUGUCUAAUUGUUCCUUAUUAAGACCAGGUGUGGGAAGCUCAUACCCUCGGGUGCCAGUGCUCCAUGCUGACUCAUUAUCUCACCAUCAGAGGUAUCAAGUGGAUUUUUUAGUGUUUGUUCUUGUUGCGUAGGGGUGUCGGCAGAGGCACCACUAAAACCUCUCUGGUACCAGGCGAGUCUUUUCUAGCUUCUUGUGUUUCUCUGUCCCAAGGCAUCCCUGGCUUUUUGUGUUUUAGUUCAGGGGCUUAUACUUGGUCUCCCUUAAAGUUUAGUUUCCAGUCAGCUGCUCAGCAGGGGUAGUUUGGAUAGUUUAGUUUAGUUCCCACUCCUCUUGACUUCAGAAGUGUAUUCUACGAUUCAGCGCUGCAGCUUUUUCACUCAUAAGGAAAUAUUGUGAAGCCCUUUCAUAAUCAAGUUUGGUGCUGAUAAUGUCUAUUUCUGUCCUCACCUCUCUUUCUAAAGACAUUUGACACUGAUUUCAACUUAAACAAGUGAUUCAGGUAUUCCAUAUAUAAUGUUUGGUUAUGUCAGUGAAGUUUCCUUUGUUUUUAGCAUAUUCAUGUCAUUUCAUGUCAUGUCUUUCCUGUUUUAUUUUGAAAUCACUAAACCCUGUCUCUGUUUCUAGAUUUGCACCCCUGUCAUGUCACACCUGCAUCCUGAUUGUCUCUCCCCACCUGUUUCCCAUCACCCUCAUUGCCUCGUGUAUUUAACCUCAUGUCUCUCGCUGUCUCCUCUCCAGUUCAUUGUAUUUCACUGUCCUCGUUCCAUCACUGUUUGUCAUAAUCAUAGACAUUUCCGUGUUUGAGCGUCCCUGUUUUUUUGCCUCACGCUUUUCGAAUACAUCUGCCUGUUCUGACUGAAUUCCUGUGUACCAACCUCUGCUUGUUGUUUGGCAUUUGUGUCCUGUCGCUCUGUUGCCAUGAUCAUAACAGGGACAUUUUCCAGAUACUUGGAGCUUAAAAUUGAAUGCUGCUUUUCCGUGUUUAGUUCUGAUAUUGGGUACAGAAAGCAGACCUGUCCCAGACCACCUGAGCUGUAUGGAUAGUUUGUUAAUCUUAGAAAAUCACUGAUGUAUUUUGGCCUGGAAGCUGCUCAUUGCUUUUCAGUUCUCUUCCUUAUUAUGGUUUAACUGAAGAAAAUUAAGGUAUAUCCACACAUUGAUUUGUACGAGGCACUUAAUCAGGGCUUGAACAGGGCUAUGGAUCACCUGCUUACAUUGUUAAGUACAUCUGUUGGUAAUCUGACUUGUGUUAUUUUAGGCCAGUGGGAACAUGUGGAUAUCAAACAGAAAAGGCUCCGGGAUAGAGCCUUGGGGAACUCCACAUUUAAUUUGUGUCCAUUCAAAUGUGAAGUUAGAGGAAGACACAAAGUAGUUUUGAUUGAUUUGAAUCACUUGAGUACUGUGCCGGGAAGUCUCCAGUUCUUAAAGGCAUAACCUACUUGGCAAAGUAAGGAUGGUGAUCAAUUAGGUAAUGUCUGGCAGCCAAAAUACCAAACACCCAGCUAGCAAAGCUCCCCUCCUUCUUGCAGAAACAAAGAGACAUCUAAAGUACUUGGAAGACCGAAUCUACUCUGAGGACAGACAAUUCAACUCAUGUUCACACCAUUGAAAGACACUUAGACCAGACCUGCAACCUUGGAAUCCACCUGCUUAUGCAAAGAAAACAAGAUCCUCAAACUUAGGACCGACAACCUGUUAUAAUUAGUCUAAAAUAUAGAUAUUCUCAAGUCUUAACAAUGUUCAUAUGUUCAUUAUUUGCCUGACACUGUGAGAUGGCAUUUAUUAUUCGGUUUGAACAGUUGUCUGAGGUACAACACAACAGCAAAAAUAUAUAUUUCAGCAGUGCUGUUUAAUGUUCUGCAUGAUUACCUCUUCCCCUGCAGUCUUUGCCGACAUGUUUAGCCAAUAUGCAUCUGUUUUCCCCUGCUGAGAGUCUUAGGACUUAGAGGAGGUUUGGAGGAAUGGAUUAACUGAGAGGGAAAUGGGGCUGUGAUGGGAUGAGAUGAGGCAACAGCAGGUGCUGAGGAGGCAGACCGUCUGAUAGAAGCUCCUCUGGGACCGUCUGUGCAUUAGUGCGUCCCGUAGUGGUAAAUGUGUCCCUCUGUCUGUACAGGUAGAUAGCUCCGAGAGAAGAACUCAGUGUUUGGCGCCUUGUGACGAAGAAGUCUGGUCUGUGUUCUGGAUCACUUGUUAAGCUCUCAACAUAUGCAUUACCCCAGGGAGAUACACACCAGACAGUGAGUCACGUAUAAAUAAAGCACGAUGAAUGCAAAUAGAGAACACUCUCUGGAGGUUUUAACAGGUGAGAUGAGUGAUUAAAGAGGCUUUGAAUACCAUGUCUACAGCUAAAUGUGCAGAUUAAAGCAUCGGAGAGAGAGAUGGCAUCAUGGGAUGUGACACGUAUAGUGAGUGCCUGUAGUUAGCUGUGUUGUAGGGAUCCCACAGGUACAACAAUAAAAGAUCAUUUGAAGAAUAAAGCAGUGAAAUCUACCUCACUUUGCACGACUAGAAGAUCCCUCAUUCUGCCAAUCCAGCUGAAUGAAAUCCACCUCAGGGGAACAAAUGCAGUGAUUUAUUUUUAAAUGUUUUCUCAGGUGGGACUGAUAAACAUGCCAAAACCCAAUGAAACACUCCCUUCCCUUGGGGAGUGUUUAGGGGACUUUCCUCAGCGCACUCUGGGAACAACUUUAGUCUGUCAUCUGUUGUUUCCUUGAUCCAUACUUCACCCGAAAGUUGUUCAAUAUCUGCCAACUUGACGGCCCUCUCAUUUGCAUAAUACUAAACUGUUCUCUGGGGAUAGCAGAGGUGAUGGGUGGGGAGACCUUGAAGAGCCAUUAACAGGUCCACCCAAGAGGAACCUUUACAAAAGUCUUCAAAUGGCUGACCCCUUUCAUUGGGUACCUUUUAGUCUGAUCUGCUGUUGCAGCCUAUCGCACCAAAAGGUUAAAAGUAGGGCUGUCAAAUGAUUCAUCUUGUUGUGAGUAAUCGUGUAAUUGCCCACAAUGAACUUGCAGUUAACCACACAUUAUUUUCACAUUUUGUAAUAUUUUCUAAAUGGGCCCAAAACCAGUAUUUUCUGAGUGUUGAAUACUUUGAUACACAUUGAUGUAGAUAACUAUGAUUACUCCUUAUUGUAAUUUGAAUAUUUGCUUCAAAAUUUUAAAACAUUGGUAUUUUUGAGCUGACGCUAGCAUCAUUCGACAAGUUUUUGUAGUUUGUGUACUUGUGUGUUUAGUUGAUUUACUUCAUCUUAACCUUCUUUUUAAAUGUUAAUGUCGACACAAAUGGAUUAUGCAUCAUACAUGAUUUCACUGCAUCCAGCCUGAAUGAAUAAACUGACAAAAAGACUACAAAUACACCUUUGAUAUGAUCAGGGCAAAGGGUGUACAUUUUGAUGCACCGAGGCCCGCAAAACACUUGAACUAAAAGAGGCAACAAUGAAGCAUUAAAGAGAUUCUCCGGGGGAACUGAGGCUUCAAAAGAAAGGAUAUGUUAACAGCACUUGCCUGAAAUGGUUAUUGAUUUUGGGCUCAUGUGAAACAAGUACAGACUCUUUUAAUAAUUUCGUUGCACAAUCCCUCGAUUUAAUCUGGUCAACAGGCAAAACAAUCGAUACAUUUUCAUCUCCAUUUGUUCACGGUUCUGUAACGUCUGCUCUCAUUUCCAACAGUCUUCAUCCAGACCAAACCCAUAUCUUAGCAAGAUUUUCCCCGCUUCUGCCUGUAUUAGGGUUUUCAUCACUUUUCCCUCUGUGCUGUCAUUUUGUUAUUGCUGCCUGUGUUGGUGUGUGUAUGCAUUUUAUUUCCAUUUGUGUGUGGACUGAUGUCUCUGUUGGCCAGAAAGGGUAAAAUAUGACUCAAGGGGGCUAGAGCUAGGAUUUAGAUUGGGCUAUUAUUUAGAUUGGGUUAAGCUAAUAAUGAUGAAUGCUACAGUUUAAUAUUUCUAUAAAAAUUCUGAUAUUGGAAGUGAUGAAAUUUUAAGAAAUAGUGGUACAGUUAGGAAGUCAUGCAGUGCCCCAACAUUGUGUUCUUGCUCUCCAGGAUAACAUGUUAAACUUGGUUUUACAGCUGGAGUACAGAGACCAAGAGAGAAAUCCAUAUCCCCUUAUGCAAUCCACCUUCCUGACGUCAAUCACUUCCAUUUCUUUUAAUUGGUUAAAGGUUAUUUUUAGAGCUGUCCUCCAACACAUCUUGGCCAACUAAAACAAUGAUGAUGUGCUCCAUGUAAAUUUGCAUACACAGCUCUGCAACAGAAGGAUGGCAGAAUCAACAGACUGUAAAACUAAAUGAAGGAAUCUACAUCUAAAAACCACAAACACUACAAAAACAUUUAGGGCCUGAUUAACUAAAGGUUGGGCGCAAAGAGGAUUGUGUCUGUCAAAUUAGCAAAACAGCACACACAAUCCAUUUAACGUGUUUGUCUUUAUGAAUAUGUAGAAUGUAUUAAGAUUAUCAUAACAAGCAAAAUGUGCACAAUGUGAUUUAUGAAACCCUGACGUAGUAGAUAGUAGAUCACCCGUAACACACCCACAAAAACAAGGUUUUACUGUCAACAUUAAUGUUAACUUGCGUCGAUUUUAAACAGAUUGAAUUUAAUGGAUUCAUAGUUAACAUAGUUAUAUUUAAAAUGAAAUAUUCCCACCUCCGGUUAUUGCAUUAUCAGUCAGCUGGCUUCACAUUAACUGGACAUUCUGAUGGUAUCACUGUAAUGGUUGAUUCAGUUUCAGCUAAUCUUUCUGAAUCAAAUGCUGCCAAGAUGUGUGUGCCUAUUUUUCUGAUGAUGUCUAACUUUUUCUUUUUCCUUUCUUUCAACAAAAACUGAGCUUCUGCUGGUUUACGGUCAGAAUUACUGUUCAGGUUUUGCACAAAAACCUUCAAGCGAGCUGUAUCCUAUUUGCAGAUUGUAACAGUUUGUUGAACAUAGCAAACACUGUCCUGCGGGAUCUUUUCAGGGGCAAUGCACAACCAUUUAUGGCAUCUUAAAAGGUCAACAUUGGGCAGCCAGAACAGUCGCAUUGCUGCCAAAUCUGUUGGACCAACGAAUCCAGUAACACAGCCAAUGUGCUGCCUGAGAUUGGCAAGUGCAAACCUGUCAGCUGAAACUCUAUCAUAUUAUUUAUCGACUUCAUGUCUGUGUUAUAACACAAUAAGAUGGUAACCAUGGUCACCAAAGUGUUAUUGCAGACAGAUCUCCCAGGAGCUUUACUGCUGCCUCCCACCACAAGUUUCAAACCACUAAGUGUGUGAGAGAGAGCGAAAAGAAAACAUGAAUUAAGGACACUUGGAGAUGGAUGGACAGACCCUUCAGUGAGUGACUAGCACAGCGGGCAGAGUCUCCUGAUACAUGUCGAUGUACGGCUGCAGUUUCAUCUUUGAUAGACCCCCUUCUUGCUCUCUGACAGGGGGACUCGAGCAAAGAGACGUAGGGUCCCCAAAUUGCCUCACCUAACCUUGGCAAUCUCCAGCCAGCCUGCGCCUCUCCAUUAAUGUGCUGAUAAAUGACUUCCAUCAAGCACGCAGAGACCAGCUCCCUGCGCCAGUAACUUGGCCACUUGUCAAUUAUGAUUAUUAAUCUGUUGCGACCCUACCAUACCACCACCCCACCUGCUACAAGCCCCCACCGGCCCUCCUCUCCCUAGACUUGAUACGGCCUGCUUGUCAGUUGCUAAAUUAAAUUACUUUGGAAUAACUGAUGGCGUGUCCAGAUCCAUCGCUCCGAUAGCAGCAAGCAUGCUCCUAAUCCCCCCUGCUGUUGGCUGCACUGAAAACAGGGGGAUAUUUAAAUCGAUGAGGGCUCAUAUUGGUUCUGACAGGCUUGGCUUUUGUUAGGUGGGGCAAGAUGACAACUCCUUAUCGACUGCAAGGGUGCUCUGAGAUUCAUCGAAAUGCUGUUUCUAUUCAGGUGCCAUGUGCUUUUUUCUCUGCUGGAAGAUUCUCCAAACAGGCUCCAAAUCAAAAGGAAACUCUUGACAGACUUUGUACCCAAGCCGCUAAUUAUUGAGGGUCAGCACACUAAUGCGUGUCUGCAGAGCCUGUCUCCCUCCAUACUCAUGCAUAAUGAAGACAUUUCUGUAACCUAGAGAAUUAAGUAUGCUGUCUUCCUCAGUUCAGCUUUUCAGUUUUCACUCUACCACCCCUAUCCUCCUCCUAAACACAUCUUGUCUUAGAUGUACAUUUUGUAACUCUGUCACUCUGCUUGUUCUCCUUCAAACGCAUGCCUCAUCCCAGGAGCUCUCUGUCCCGGCAUUCCCGUCCCUAGCUGCCUCAUUAAUGAACUGUAAAUACUUUUUGCUAUGCAGCAAAAUUGAUUGACUGGCGAACCAACAGCACUGGGUGGCUCCAGAGGAAACAAGAAAAAACCAAGACUUAUGUACCGGGAAGAAAGAUAUUUUAUGUAGGAUUGGUUUACCACUGGCUUAAUUUGAAACUGUCUUUCCUGUGAAGAUAUUGGAGACAUGAACAUAAAAUUUAAUUGUGUUGAUGUCAGGACAGUACCAAGUAUAUAUAGUAUCUUGUCUGAGCAUGUUUGCCCGGUAUUAGCUUUCCUCUGUCGCCUUGUCCCUGCACACUUGGACUGCAAAUCCAAUUAAUCGAACAAAAACCAGACUGUGUAUCUCUGACAGGGUGUCAUAUUUACAAUAGCCUGGCUGUCUGAAGUGUGAUGUCUCCACUGCUAAGUCACGGCCAGCCAAGUCUCUGUCAGGGCUCCCAUAAGAAAAAAAAAAAACCUUAUUCAAAGCUCCAAACACCAUAGUACAUUAAAGGAAGCUUGAAGCAGAUCGCCCUGAGGCAAGAUAUCACCCUCAGCCUGCCUCUUUAGGAGAAUAAUGAAUGGAUGGCAUAACUAAUCCCACUGCAAAUUUACAAAAAAAAAAGUAUAUCUAGUUGGAUAUGUAAAAUGUCUCGCUCUAAGUGAGCUGACCAUCUCAUCUCUUUUACAGAAAGCUCUCAUAAGUGCCGGUAGUGUUUCCCCUCAGGAGGUGAUAAAAGUGAGAGCAAAGAAAUUAAACUGGACUGGUGUUAACACAAAUCCUAAGAUUACCUCAUUUGUAUAAAUGUAGAUUUGCAGCCUCCUGUCCUGUUUUGAAGAGAAAAAACAGCGGUGGAUGAAUAUCUGUAAGCCACACUUGGGCAAAAGUGCAUUUCACACUGAACCGAAAGUUGGCUAUCUAUACAACAUAAGCAGAAAUCUAAAUCAGAUGUUUACUGUAUUCAAGCUACAAAAGUAUAGUUUCUUCUAUUGGUUGUACUUGGGUAAAAGUCAAAGUACAACUGGUGCAGUGUGAAGAAAUGGGAAUCUUUGACAAUGAGAUUCUAGAUGGAAACACUUUCCUGCUCAACCAACUUGACAGUGAGGUGACAGUGAGGUGGCUGAGGACAAGAAGCUCCCUGUAAUGUAAAAUACAGUAUGAUCCUCCAUUUGCCAAGUUUUUACUAUUUGAAAUGUCUAUCAGAUUCUUUGGUAACACUUUACAAUAACCAUAAUUUAUAAAUAGUAAAUAGAUAGUUUAUUAAUGUUGAAUCAACACUUCUAAACAUUAUAUAGACCAAUUAUAAAUGGCAAAUAGAUAGUUUAUUAAUGUAAGUUAAUAGUUACUUUACCAUUAACAAGCAAUGAAAUUGUGAUUAAUAAUUUUCAUUAAUUAUCAACAGACUAUUUAAAGGUUUAUAUAGGGUUUACAUAUUGGUUGUAAAACAUCUAGAUUAAAAUGUGUAUCAGUAGCACUUUGUAAAUGGUUAAUAUUUGUUUUUUUAAACCAUCUAUAAACAUUACUUAGAUGGUUAUUGUAAAGUUAGGGUUAGGUUUUUAAAACUACAAAAUUUACAAUUUAAUUAAUGGUCUAUAUGCUAUUUAUAAAUGAUGAUUAAACAUUAAUAAACUAUCUGCUUAAUAUUUAUAAAUGGUCUAUUUACCAUUUAUAAGUUAUGGUUAUUGUAAAGUGUUACCGAUUCUUUUGUACAUUGGCUGCUAUCCUCUUCUUUGUUACCCAACUGGUGCGUUUUGCACGACCACUCUCUAAAUACAAAAAACAUGCAUGUUAUGACUGCAAGAUGACAACCUCUUUGGAAGAACCCACUACUAAAAUGCUUCUUCUAAGUUACAGAAAACACAUGAUUUAACUGAUUUAAAACAUGCGUAUGGAUAAUUUAUUCCAUUUCUACCAAGUCUGUUCUGAUAAAUGCUAUUAAAUGCUUCAAGUUGUACCUUUAAGGAUGUUAAUCGUGGUCAAAAAUUUCUGGAAAUGUGAACUGUAUUUUUACUGUUGUGGAAAGAAAAUGGAGCUACCGGAAGAUCUUGAUAACAAAAGAGCUUAUCAUCAACUAUUCAACCUUUGCCACGUAAUGUUUUUAGUAUAAUAGAAGAACUGCCACUCUUUCACUGGAGAAGCUGGUAUUAAUACAAAUGAAGUCUCUACCUCUGUCAUGUAUCCAGUAUCACCACUGAGUGAUAUUCCACUCACGUGGUCCUUACCUGCUCUCAUCUGACAUGUCUGGACUUGGCUUAAUGGAUAAACCGGGCUCUGAAAUCCUGUGAUUUCACUUGUUAUUCUGUGAUGUUUUUAGGCUUGUCUGCAUCUACAGUGUUGAAUUACUGUUAUUCUCAGGCUUUGACCACUUAGUUUCCAUUCAUUUUAAAGGCAUAUUUUCAGUUUUCAGAACAUUUUGUAGGUCUAGAGCUGCUAAUGCAAAUGCUAUGUCUUUGUAAAAUGCUAUUUUAUCAGCGCAAGUAUACCGCACAGAGAGUACCUUACUUAGCACAGACUUAAUGGUCACUCCUAAGGGAAGAGGUUUUAUUGCAAAAAAAUAUCCUUAACCUUGCAACUGGAAGUGUUUGGGAGAAGCUCUCUGAAAUUGAGAUUUUAGACUGCCAAAGCAAAACCAGCUGUUAUACUGGACCAAGGCCCUUAGUCUGCCAGACUCUCUGAUGAAGGCAGUAGCAUUCAUGGUGAUGGUCUGAUACUUAAAAACAACAAACUGUUAUUCAACCUCCCAUGCAUAAAUACACAACUUUACAGCAGAAAUACAGAUAAACAGCCGUAUACUUAUUGCAGUCUAUACAGGCUGUUUCUUUGUUCAUUAUAGAGAGCAUUACAUACUCUUGUGCGGCCUUGCUUAUAGUCCAACUCUCCUGUCCUCUCUCCUGUUGUUGUAUUUCAGCUGCAGUUCAGUCAUAUUUCAAAGCAGUCUGCUGAGAUUGAUUCCUGGUUCAAAGGCGAGAGGAUGGCGGGGAAUGGAAAUAAAAAGACACAAGCUGCAGACAUGAGUAGCAAUUGUCUAACUAAGAUUAAUGCUAUUUUGUUGUCACAGAGCUAAUAUAGCAAAACCUAAAAUAAAAGUCAUGCUGUAAAAUACUUCAGGUUGAUAAAGUACCAUCCCAUUAUCAAGAGACACAGCUCUUAGCUGAUCCAUUAACAGUACAUUAGUGGAGUAUCUUUUUUUUGGCUCUUAAUGACUCUUACAACCCAACGAGCUUCAAAUAAUUGUAAUGAUAGAGUAAUGCCGUUGUAACCCUCACUCGUUUUUUUUAAGUAUGACAUAAACCUUUGCAGCAAAAUGACCGUUAUUGCUGUGUUUUAAGGGGCUCUUCACACAGAUGUUUCAGUGCAUAAAGAGAGGAUGUCCUGCUGCAAAAUCCCACUAAGAGGAUGACCUGAAUGUGUGGAAACAUGCUAACUUCAUUGGGCAUCUAAUGGACCCAAACAGAAUACAGAUACAGUGGUUUCACUUUGCACUGGAAGUCAUAUAAAUGACUACUUGCUGAGGCAUUAUACCAAUGUUUAAUGAUGCUGUGUCACUAUUCUGCACAAGCAUUAUGGCCUUUUUUUUUUUGUUCCUUUAGGUUCUCUUUUUUCUGUUGCUGCGAGUGCUGAAAUCCAGCUUCAUCUCUGUGCAAACCUACACAGCCUUGCUCCCACUGAACUGUCAUUUAUUAUGUAAGAUACAGAGAAAGGCGGGAGUGAUGAUUUAAUCAGAAUGAAAGGUUUUUAUUCUCUGUUUGGACUUUGCAACACGCCUUAGGUUCUACUCUGAGAGAUGUCCAUGGCUUAACUAUGACAUGAUUUGUUUCAUAUUUCAUUAGGGUACACUGUUGCCUAGUGCCUGCUGAAGUUUGCUAACAAUGCAGAGUGGGAAUGUAAAGCGUAACAGAGAUAGGGAGGCGGUAAGGAAGUGCAUGAAUCUGUAAUAAGGUACGAUCUGUUAGGGAAGGAUGGUGGGGGAAAUAGUGAGCGGGGAAGAGCUUAAGUGCAUCGUUGACAAAUUGUCACCAUGGCAUCAAAUUGCAUGUUGGGAAAAGGAGUGGAGAGGAGACACUGUGAAAGUGUAACCUCUGAGACAGAGGAGGGCGAUCGUGUGGAGACAUUUUUAAAAUAAUACAUGACCCUACAAAUAAAACAGAAGAGGAAGGACUUAGAUGGGACAAGAUUUACAGGAAGGGUUAAACCUCAAUCAUUUGGAGAACACUCCUCUUCCUCUUUCCCUCCUACCCCAGGUGACUAAAUAGACUCUUGUCACCACACCAGAACAGGUUAUCAAGGUAUGAAGCCAGAAUAUUGUUUAUCAGGGAUGGUGUUUUCCUCCCUCGAAGAUAAGAGGAUUAGAAAAAGUAACAGAUGUGAUACCGUUCCCUCAAGAGACUGUUACGAUAUUAUGAUGAGAAUUUGACUAAAUUAACUUUAAAAAUGUACAAACUUUUUAUACACCUGAGAUCCCUGUAAUUUUGUUUUAUCCUCAAGGGUACAUCAUUCAUCAAAAUAACUAAUACACCAGAUGUGCCUCUCUUAAAUACACUUCAGAACUUGAAAGUUACAGUAAAUAAGUUUUAUCAUGGAUGAACAAAGAAGCGCCUCAGACCUCUUUGCUGACAGGCCUACGUGAUGUUCUCUGGUUAAAAUACCUCAUCCUGCUUUCCUUUAUGUGAAAUACAUUACAGGUGGGUAGAUUGUAGCUGUUUGCAUGGCAGCAGUGACCUCAAAAUCACCUUUUUGUAAAAAUCGAGACUGGAUGAAAAUUACAUGGGGUCAGGAUUUCCAACAUGAUGGCUGUCAUCUUUUGAAUUUCAUAAUGCCAGUAUAUGGAUUUUAAGCUGAAAAGCUCUCUGUAAUUCUGUGUUUAUUUUCUCCACUUCCUGAAACCAACAAUGCACAGUAGCUACGCAAUCCUCGUACGCCCAUAGGCUGUAUCAAGUGUCAAUCAUAGCCCCCUAAUAACUUUUAAAAAUGGAGCUGUACAGAAAAAAAGAGGACUUGAGCACAAACCAGUCUGACAAUAACUUUAUGUCAACAACGCAAGCAGGGGGGAGAAAAAAAUUAUAUUCUGCGUAAUAAAUUUCUAAGGUUUGUCCACAUCUUCAUAGGGAUUGCUGGAGGAGGCAGGAUUUAUGACCCAUACUGCCUGUACAGUAGAUUUCAAAGAUGCAAAUGUGCAAAAAUGUACUACACGAAGAUAGAAUCAAGCUGGCAGCCUCUCGCAGGAUUUUAUUUUAGUUACAGCAUCAAACACAACUCAUGACAAUCAGAAGGACAGUGGAAGCCCAAACAAUCCCCCGAAUCCCUACCACUGUUCCUUCUUAUACUUCCCAAAUGGCGUCAUUAGUCCUAUUCCCGGAAACGGCCUUCACGUUGGUAUCUGAUAGCCAACCACAUGAUUUCUUCUGUACACAUUUUUUUGUUGGCCAGCUCUGCCCAAUUUCCCCUCUGGACAGCUGAAAGUUCACCAUCACCUGGACUCUCUCUGGCUGUAUCCUGUAUGCAGUUUUGCGAUAGCUUUGCUCCAAAAACAUGUCUAUGAUUCGCUCCCACACCCGUCACCAGGGUGUGCUGUUCUCAGGAUGGUCUCACCAAGCGAGGAGGUAGACGCUGUCCAUUCUAUAUACAGUCUAUGAGAUUUCCAACAUGAUGGCUGCCAUCUUUGGAAUUCAUAGUGCCUGUGUAGAAACCGAUGAGUGACAUCACUGAGUCUAAGUCCAUAAUAAGAGCUAUGAGAUCCCUGAUUUAAUGAUGUGACUCCUCAGCAAACAUGAGUCCCAGGUUUACAGAGGGAUGACGUUUAAGUCACAGCAGGUAGAAGUUCUUUAUUGUUUGUUUUGCAGCGCAACGCUGAGGUCUAUCCUCAUACAUGCUAUACUCUGGUGACCUCACAUUGUAUGCAUGAACAAAUACAGGUCCCCUGGAUUUACACAGACCUUUAACUCUCUCUCUCUCGUAUUGUUUUUCUUCCCAUGAUUACAGGAGCACACAAGAUCACAAUCGAUGUACAUUCAAACAUUCAUGUGGCUCUCCCAGAGGUCUCAGGAGGCAGAUAAAUGUCAUGCUGAGCUUAUCAACGUUGUUUGGUUUGAACUCCACUGCUACUGUUAUUUACAUUGACAUUUAUUGAUCUCUAAGCAUGAGAGGUGUGGGAAGGCUGAGUUUUCCAUUACAGGUUGAAGGCUUUAUCUUCAGAUACAGUUUAAUGUUGGUUGCUGACUUUGUUUUAUCGGUUUGUAGAUAUGUUGAAAUGCUCAUACAAGUCCAAGUCCCACCGAUUUGAUGGGAAAUCAAAUAAAUGAGAGUCAUGGAGCGUCUGCAAAGGUAUUCAAGCACAGAGUGACAUGGGUGGUGUAUCUUAGGUGCUAAUGUGAAUCUCUAAGAGAGACUGUCAUGCAGGGACAAAAAAGGUUGCUUGCAGCUGAUAUGACAUCCUGGUAUGCUUAAAGAAAAAGGUGCAGAUACACCAAGAGAUUCAAUUUCCCAUACAUACCAAGCUCAUUUCAAGCACUACAUACUCUCAGUUAGAGAUGGGAUUGAUGGCUCUUUGAAGGGAACUGGAUCUUGAGGAGCCGUUCGAAAGACUGGCUCAUUUAAUUUAAACAACCCACCAAUAUAUAUUCUUUUGGUGGAAAUUAUUCAGAAACAUUAAUUAUGAUUUCAUUUAGCUUGUGUUGUCAUUGUAGAGAGAUCACUAUUUUGAAGUUUUCUCUUACCCGAAAAACUUUGUGGUACAAUAAAAACUACGCAAGCUACAGAUAACAGAUAAAAAAUUAAGACAUGAUAAAUGUGAAUGCAAAAUUGUAUAGCCCUACUUGGUAGGGUGACCAUAUUCUGAAUCCCCAAAAAGGAGGACAUGACUACGCAGGGGCGGAGUCGCACAACAUUAAUCUUGAGAGUUUUUGGGUUGGAUUAAGUGUCUUUUACGCGCUUCUAACUCAAUAAGUCCAUGUGACACAAACUUGAAACUUCUGUAACCGCAGACAUUUGAAGGAUUUUAUAAACUUCCCUGGAUAGAGCCGGACAAAGUUGGACAGCUCCCCAAAAAAGAGGACAUGUCCAGGUAAAAGAGGAUGUAUGAUCACCACCCUACUACCUGGCAUUUGGGGCACACAGGUGACACAUAAAUGUAGCGUGGGCAAUUUGCAUAUUAGAACGUUUUGAAAACAAACACCUCGCCACUGUGAACCAGUUCUAAUCAUUCACUUAAAAGAGCCGUUCAAAUGACUGACUCGUUCACAAACGUCACAUCUCUACUCUCAAAAACAUUUAACAUCUCUGAGAGCUUCAAUUAAACUCUGUGACACACCCAAUAAGGUUUGUCUCAAUAUUUGCAAAAGAAUUAAAAGAUUUUAAACCAUUCUUAUUUGUUUGACACAUUUUGACUAUAAAGAACUUGAGAGAAAUGAAACUGUUGAUAUAAUAUGACAACGUGAUUACAAGGAUCCUCAUUUGAUUCGUCUUAACUCUCAGCUCUCCUUAUCAGGGAGAAGAGCAGUCUCUUUAUUCUUUUCCCUGCAGUGUUCAUCAGUGCCCCAGUAAAGAAGAUGGCUUUGUUCUUGCACUUAUACAGUGCACUUAUACUUAUGCAUAAUCUAUGUCACCUCUGCUUAAAGAGGAGGAAGAAAAGCAGUGCUUAAUGCCUGGCGGCAGCUAUGCAGCAGGUAGCAACACGAGUCCUUGUAAGAGUUCAGACUGCUUCAAAAUUUCACACAGCCACUUUGACACAAUUCCACUAAAUUACAGCCUGAAUGACUCUUAAUGACAAAGACCUCUAAUGGCAAAGAGCCUGCCUCGGCACAGAGACGAGGAAAUAAGGCAUUGAUUGAAUGCUGGAAAUGACGCACUGGAUUUAUUGAGAUAAUACAUUCCUCAGCCAUGCUUUCUAUCCAUUAAGAGGAAUUACUUAGACUGUAAUGAGCAGGAUAUUAUCCAGAGUGAAGCUAUGGAUGGAUGCCUCUAUCUGCAAAAGCUCCAAGAUAACAGGCAAGUGACUUGGGGUGAGGUGAUGUCAUGACAAUUAACAAUGCUCAUUGUUACAUUUACCAUGAAUAAACCAAGCUCCAACCAGACAUAGAUGGUUCCUGGUCGGAAUAAGUGAAUAUAGCUCUGCAAUCCACAGCAGUAUCAGACUACUUUGAAUGUUAUAUGUAGAUUAAAGGCAUGGUUGACGAUUGGAGAGAUUGGUCAUUUUUAUAAACCUCGUUUAUAUGGCGAUCAUGGUCCUAUAGUGCGAUCUCCACAAAGCAAAGAGAAAAAAAGAACGGAAAAGAAAAAAUGCAUUCAUCCUAGCAAGUGCAGGGCUGCAAAAACAUUGACCAAUGGGAGCCAUGCGUCCCGGACAACUCCCAUUGGUCAAUCUCCUACUCCGCCUCUCCAUCCAAUCACCUGCAUUCAACACACUCCCGCUGUUCCAACUCGUCCCCUCCCACUCUUCCGGCCCUUCUUAGAGCUCUGAGCAGCUAAAAGUAGCAUAGCAGCUUAGCUACAUGAGCUGUGACGAUGAAGGACGCAAAAUAAAACUAAUUUUUGCCUCUCAUUGUGGCACGUUACAUAAAUAACUCUUAUUAGUCUCUGCAUUGUCAACACGGUAGCUGUCCAGGCAGCUGCAGACGGUACUCGCUAGCAGAGCUGGCAUUUACUGCUGCUAGUCACUAGCAAUCCAAUAUGGUGAAUCCUAUUUGAAGCUAGCGUAGGAUUUUCUGUCGGCCGGCUUCUUGCUCUGCCAGAGGGGGUGUGUCGUGGGGAGGGUGAUAGAGGUUCGGGUGGGGGGUGGUUUGAUUGAUUUUUCAAAUUGCGUCAUCUUCAUGCCCCAACCCCCUAAAGCUCCUGGACCUUUGAAAAAUACUACCCCAUGGCUUUUUUAAGGGGUACAUCAAUUACCCCAUCAAUUAAAUUUAGACCCUGGUACAUGCUUUGAAAACCCACAUAGUUCCUCAUAAGGUUCCCAGUGCCUGGGUAAAGUCCCUGCUGUUGAAAAGUAGCCAUGCAACUGCAGGUUGAGCUUAUACCCUACAGGAUUGCAAACUCCACAUGGCAAAAACAGAUGGAGCUACAAAGAGCUGUGAACAAUGUUGAACAUAAAACAGACCACAUCUUCCAUACCCAGGUCUCUCAUGAUCAUCAUAAUUGCUCAAGUGUUGCAAUAGGUUCUAUUCAACCCUUAAUGAAGACUCGAGGUGCAGCAUAAAGGAUCUGCACUCUGACAAGACAAAGGCAAACAGAUUGGUCUCGGUUACAAAAGUCCUUACUGAAUAAAUUUAACAGACAAAACAAACAAACGUCUCAGUCCAUCCUUGAUUUCUUUGUAAUGCUUUCAACGUGCACCCUUCUACAGUGGUUACUAUACAGGUCCCUCAUUGAGGACUGGGCAUCUCUAAAGCCUACGGAUGAACUGUGAAUGCAAAAAACACCUGUUACAUUACCAUAAAGGAUGACAUCCCACAUUCUUAUACUGAUAUAAAUACAAAUGAAUGUUCAGGCACCUAAUAUAGGAUACACUUGCACAGUAUCAUAGUGCAGAUCAAGUCUGAGUCCUCAGUGCUUGAAUCAGUACAUAACAUCAAGACUUGUUAUAUAUUGGGCAUAUAUUUUAGGACUUGCUUUGUAACAUUUUGUUCUAGUUUUUUGAGCAAAAGUUAGAAAAUAUGUGAAAAAGACUCUCCUGGAUUGCUAAAAUGUAAAUCACACAUUCACAACCCAUUUGAUUAACACGGGCUGUCACCUCUACAUAGAACUUUUUAUAUUAUCAAGGUAGAGAAUAUGCACAGUAAGGUUGAAUCUCUGAAUAUUAAUACACGUAAAAGUAGUAGAGGACAUACAGUAACCUUACUCCCUGAAACAUUUCAUAGUUCACAUGUCUGUAGCGGAGCUGUACAAUUUUAUAAACACCGCACAUCACUCUGGACUUGGAAGCCUUUUUCUGAACUUGGCAUUUAGACUCUGUCAACAUUUUCAGUCCUGCUGUGCCCCUGUGAUAUCUUCCUGUGUCUUAGAUCUAUUUCCAUUACACGACACAGAGAGUAGAUGUUUGACUGAACUCAAAGGGCAAUUAUACCAUGUUCUGCAUAUUCUCUUGAACUUCUUCCGGUCACUUCGCUCAAAAUCUUCAAAGCACCUGGUAAGAAGAGAUUUCAAUCAGCUCCCAGCACUCUCGCUUCAUUAAAUCGGAAAUGGAGAACAAGAGCUUUCUCAGACAGAUUACAUCAAAAUAAUGAGUUCUUUAAAUUGCCUAUCACAAACUUCAACUAUCAAGUUAUUUGUACGGCGGCAGUUCACUGUAGUUCAAACAAACUGAAAGACCCAUUAAUUCCUGCUGUCUGGACUCUUAAUAUACCGAGGCGCUGAGGUCUACUCUGCAGGACGUGCCUCUAUCAGCAACCACAUGAGGCUGCAAAGCACAUGAUGAGCAAGAUACCACUGUUAAAGUCAAGAUACUUGAUAGACAUUUAACCUUUUAACUUUUAAUUCUUUUAAAUUAAUUCUAGGAAAUAACAACUCAAAUAUUUUGAGAUUCUGGGUUUCUGGUUGUUGUGAACAUUUUUCCUGAAAACUUUUAUGCAUGAUGGCACUACUUGUGAAGCUCUCAAAUGUUUUUAAUCGGAAACCUGAUAAUCUUCAGAGGACUGUUGUCUUGUUUAUUGUACAUUUUACCCCCAAUCUCCACCGCAUCCGGAAAGACUACGAAAAGGCCAUAUUCGCCGAUUGUAGCUGAUCGUAACCAUUCAAGUUAAUGUGUCAAUUUCCACCGCCUUCUUUCCGUUCCGCGGUGGAUCGCCGGACUCCGCAGCUGAUCGCAAGAGUUCUACUUUUUCCGGAUGCCGGAGCAUGCAAGAUAAAUUCAGCACAGAUUAAUAUGUAAACGGGCGGGGAUGAGCAAGUGAAAGGUUAGCCUUUGUGGCUAGAGACAAUUUGUUAUCACCCAAUUGCAAGUGAAUCCACGGCUGCUUGUGAGUUCUCGCGAUUCCCGGUGUCCGUAAUCCACCACGAAAUUUGCCACACAAACAGAUCCGGUAGAAAUUGGCGGACGACAAAAAUCGCUGCCAUUUCGGAUUGGAGGCUUUCUAGAUACGGUGCAAAUUGGGAGUUAUACUACCACUCUUUUCCCUUUUAGUAAAGUUUUUUAUUAAUUUGGUGUGGUACAGCGCUGUAAAGAGCCAGCUUUUGGACAGCAAAUUUAUACUUUCUUAAUACUGAUUGAAAAUGUUUUAAGUGGAAUAAAAUGAGAUAAAUAAAAUAAAGUAAAAUUACAAUAUUUAAUUUAUUUUAUUUUAUUCCAUUAAAACAUUUUUGUAUAUGUCUAAUAAGUCUGGAAAAAGAUAAAUUGUUUUUAAUUUUUUUACUUUUUCAUAGUAUUCCAAUUACUUGAGUUGCACCUGUACUUAAAAAAACAAAAUAACCAAUCCUUAUCAACCUCUUAAAAGAAGUAUGACUGUUGGUUUUGUUUUGGCAUUGAGUCCUGGUAAUAUGGGUGUAAUGAUGCACCCAUAUCUCUGACUGCCACAUAAUGUAGACAGACACACUCAUCACACUACCUCACUUGGCGCAUUAAGACCACAAGAUAGAGAACAACAGAAAUGCUGCUGGCAGGGUGUCUAGAUCAUCAUUUUUACGUGUUUUGGCAGUUCUCAUUGUACGGAUCUUAUCACUUAAAAUAAAAGGGUCAGCCACCAUGAACCAGAGCAAGGAACAGCCAAGAAGGCUUCAGUCUAGCCAGUCUGUAUCCUUAUCCGUAAUAUGAUAAGAUCUCAAUGUCAGCAGUAUCAUCUGUCUGUGUAAAUUAUCUUUAUCAAGAAGGUUAAAGGGACGCUUCAGGAACACUUACAGGUGUAAUCUCAUCUAAAUGAAUCUGCCUUAACCUGAGUGUGAAAUGUGUUCAGCUGCCUCUGAGAAGAGAUCAAAGACCUAAUUGAAAAUUACAGGAGAGAAGUUAAAGGUAGGAUUACAUGAUUACAGGAUUACACAUUAAUCAAUUUUGAAUAGUACGCUUAGAUCAUACUUCUGGUUUCUCUUUUCAAACAUUUCAUUCCAGUUCGUUCGCUUAAAUCUUCAGGGAUCGGGGUGGGGGGUGGGGAUUAACAUCUGUGUUUCACAUAAACACAAAAUUAAAAUAACUCUUAUGGUGCGUUCACACCAAGCACGUAUAGAAUCAUCCAUGCAAGUCGAUGACAUGUUAAGUCAGUGCAAAUCAGAUGCGAUUAGACGCAAGUUCUUCUAGGGUGACGCUAAUAAGUUGCAGCGAGUAGCACAGAUUGAGAGGACUGUUUACAUGAAUUACUCGAAUUCGCAUCACAUCUGACACGUUACUCGCUUCAAACACUUAUUCACAAGAGUUAAAAAAUCUGAACUCGGGGGACUGUUUGCACCCUGAUAACCAAUCAGCGUGGAGAUGCCCUGGUGAUGUAAGUCAAGAACAGACCAGCAGAGAUUCAUCCAUUUGGAGGAGUCAGGAGUCAGGAGUAAAAAAGAGCUCAGCUGGAGGAAAGUCAGUGAGGUGGUCUGAAUAUUUUACAAUGUGAUCGACCUCUGCUAUGUUCGAUGUAAACAGUCUGACCUGACACGCAGAAGCCCCUCCUCUCAUGUGUGUUUCGGCACUCUGCAGAUGUAAAAUAAAUACAUGAAUGGGGCAAGUCAUUCGCACAAAUCAAGCGAAUAAACACACAACAUUCCCACGUCCAGAAAUGCAAGUAGAUAAUCUUAUUUGCGCUUGGUGUAAACGCAUUAGACUACAGUGAAUGACUUUAAAUGAUCUCAAACAAGACGUCAUGACUUGAUUUAUAAAAUCGCCAGUUUUUUCUUUAACAAACUUAAAAACUCAUGGUUUCCUGUUUCAUUCCCAACCGUUAGACUCCAUUAAACAGACAGCUUUCAGCCUGUUUGAACAGUCUAACCUUACAACAUUGACACCAGUGUAAAAAGUUUACAAAUCCACUCCUGGGGUGCUCUCUGUGAGUGCUUAUCUCAGGUCUUCUUAACCUUUAGCCUUAGAGUUUAACUAAUCUUUACAUGAUCAAUAACAGUUCCCUCCAGGCUCUCUCACCUUCGCAUGAGAGGAGAAGUUCGAGCCGUCUGUCUGUGCAGGGAAAUCAUUCAUUCCUGUUGACUCAAUGUCAGAGUUAGGAGCUUUAAAACACCUGCCUGUGCAGCAAAGUUCCAGGCUUUGGGAGGACUAACUCUCAAUCUUUGAAAAGUAAGAGGAUCUUUAUACUACAGGUGAGGCUUUGGGGCACAGAAGGAUUUGUUUUGGGGCCUCUUAACUCAUAAUCAUUUGAUUUCAACUUUAUGAGGUAUUGUUUGACAGAUUUAAUCUUUUACAUAAAAUCUUCAAUAUUUUUUUUGAUUUGGUCUCAUUUUGAAACACACCUGCAAACUGAGACUUCACACUGUAAGUCUUAGUAUCACAUUGACAUCACCCUCAAACUUUAAGUUUGGUAUCUCUGUCAUGUAAAUCUUGGUUUCCUGGCGCCAAAAGUAACAACAUUCAGCCUAUGCAUGUCUGCACAAUGAUCCUGAUAAAUGUAAAUCUCUGAUUUCUACUCUGUCUAUACUUGUACCAUCAAAUUCUCUACCACCUGUUUUCAAUGAUUUUUUAUUUAACACCUAAAAGCACUUUGACCUGCUCUGUGCAUGUAUGAAUUUGUUUUGCCUAUUAACGAAUUGUACUGGUGUAUCUCGCCACCUGCUGAAUUUUAAACCCUGUGUUUACUCUUUCCUAUAAUUGCUUGUUACUGAAAACAGCUGCUUACAGCAAUAAGAGCAUCCGGGUAGGGGAACAAAAACAUCCAUCUAAAACUUAAAAUAAGGCUUUAGAAAAUUCUCUCAGCGGGCGCAUGAUUACAAGUGACCUCAAACAGCAGAACAACGACUACUGUGAAAAAUGAGAACAGUCAGAACUUUGCUUAGCAAGAGAAACAGGUCUACAGGUUAAAGGAGCCCAUUAUGGUUAUUUAAAGGUAAAUAACUUUAACUGAGCUAUCAAUACAUAUUAUUUUCAUUAAAUCAUUAUAGUUUAAGCUCUUAUGAAUUCACAGCUACAGCCAAUGUGCUGUAAAACUGAAUAACUUCAGUUUUGAACUUGUCAAUUUCUUGUGUAAGAAGGACUCAUGCUGCGAUCCACAAGUACUCAGAAGUUGGGAUUUCUGAGCUCUGAGUCUCGAACGUCCCCCUGAACUUGGAUUUCUGAUUCAGAAAGACGGAUGAUCCUCACCAACCCCAACUUGACGAUGACAUCAUAAUCCAAGAUGGCAGCGCAGUACAUUAACAGUACAGUGAAAGCUCUAGGAAUAAAAAUAAUAAGAAUAGAAUAGCUUUAUUAAUCCCUGAAGGGAAAUUCAAUUGUUGUCUGACAUAAUAUGUCUCCAAAAAAGUUAUCUACCAUUAACACAAGAAUUGUGUAAAUUCUAAUUGUUUUAUUUAUUAGCACUUCUGUUUUGUUUCUGUGAAAUUGAAUAAGUGGUAUAUGUUGUACUGCUCAACGUCUAACUGUGAACACUGAGCUAUAGUGUUUGUUAGAGUAAAAUACUGCUUUAUGCGUUGUUUACGACUGGUAUAGCUAGCAACAACUAACAGCUGACAACCGCUAAAAAUGACUGACAAUGGCUAACCACAGCUGAGAAUUUUAAACAACAGCUAACAACGGCUAACAGUAGGCGUCUGUCUUGGUUUUCAACUUGUUAACCAGAACGCCGUCAACCCAGGUGUAACGACAUUCCGACUUCCAAGGUAAUUGGAACGCAGCAUUACACUGGAUAUAAUGAUCAGUUGUGUUUAUGGUUAAAAGUAAAAGCAUGAAAACAUUCAGUUGCUUCUCUGUUUACAGGUUCAAGAAAAAUAAACCAGCAGAAGUGUCUGGUGUUAUACAAUCAGAAUAACUGCAGAUCAAGUAUUCAUAUAUGGAUCGUCACUAUGUGAAAAAAUUGCUUUGCUUUUUGUUUUCUUUCAGUUAUCCUCUGAGCUCAGAAAAGCUGGCUCUGCCCAUCACUAAGAGUGUCCAGGUAGCAGGGGGGAGCAGGAGGAUAUUUGUAAGUUAAACUUGUUUUCAAUAACAAAAACUCCACACUCUUUCUUUUUAAACUAAUUCUGUUCAAAACUUUGCUGACUCACCAAAUGCUGCACAGCAAAAACCAUCUGUUGUCAUUUAAGUUUCAUUUGCAAGUGGAUCGAUCUGGUUUACUGCAACCCAGAUGCUCGGAGGAGAACUGAAAGCUUUUGUCUACUGACAUCUCAGUUCUUCCUCGGGAGCAUUAAUAUGACCCAGUUUCUCAUUGUGGAUUUCUAGGGAUUUAACUGUGCAAGCUAAGAUGCAAUCUUGAGCAGGAACAGAGGCGUUACAGGAAGCAAAAAGUGCCAAGUGACUGCGAUGAAACGGACGAGCCUUAUGCCACACAAGUGGAGCCCACCAGAAGCACAAAAGUCAGGCAUGGAGAAAACAUGUAAGUACCAAUGGUUUAUGGGUAUGCCAAAUCUAGCAGGUUGCUUUGUUUCCUUCAAGUGAUCAUAAAUAUUCUUCCUUGAGCUGCGUCACCCCGCUGUAGUCCAUAAUGGACUGGCCUGAGGUCUCCCUACAAACAAGCGGCUGCUGGAAGAGAGUGGGUGAGAGAAGUAAGCGGUCGGCAACAUUCAUCUCUUGACGGGGUGUCUAACUCGGAGUUAUGGUGUGUAUGACCCUAAAUUAAUUUCACGCCGGAAUAUCCCUUUAAGUUUUACAGCGAAUACGUCAGCGUACAAUAGGUCCAGUGUACACACAGCAGCAUUAUCAUGUAGUGGUUUGUGAUCACCUGAAAAAUGAACCUGAUACUUUUUCAUUUCCUGGAUUUAAACAUUUUAUUUUGGUGUUUGUGAAUUUUGAAAGAUUUAUCUUUCUGAGUGGAUAUCUUGUUUCUCUCUGUAUCUGGACUGUGGCAAGACCUGUACCAGUUAAAGGCCACAACACUUCUUCCAUGCCACUUCUCCAGUCUCUCAAUCAGUAUGCUCUAAAGCACCGUAUCAAAAAAAAAAUAUUAAAGGCUCCAGAAGAACCAGGAGGGAGCACAAAGAAGCAGAGGUUGUAGUGAUUGAAAGGUAUAUAAUCCAACUGAAAGUUAGCAGUAGCAGCUCUUUCUCUCAUUCAGCACAUUAAAUUCAUUCAAUUCACAAAGAAAACCAAAUUUCCUAUCUAAAAAUUUACCCAGGCACAUUAUCUAGGACACUGUUAUUAAAUUUUGCUCAAACUCAUUUUAGGCACAUUAUUCUCAAGAGCUCUUCUCUCACUCAUAACUGUGCCUGUUUCUCCUUUCUCUUUUUUUGUUCGUUUAACUCCCUUGUUGGAAGCGUACAACAACACAAACACACAAAAAGAUAAAGAAAACUAUUCUGCUAAACUGCUUUUCAUUUGAAUAAUGUCGGCCUACCUGCAUAAUUACCCACAUCACAGGCUGAGGAUAAUUAUUUUGCAAAUAUGGUUCAAAACACAAAUUCCUCUUGCAUCUUUUCCUCUUUUGAAUUUAACGUACCGUAGAUUUGCAAAUCCCAUUCGGGGAAAUUCAACAAGCAGAGUACAGCUGCAAUUAUGACACUUUGUGACGGAUGCAGAUGCACACCGAUUUUCCUCUGGACAUGAUGCUCUUAUCAGAGUGUCCUCACAAAGACUACAAGGUACAGCCAUGGAAAUAUGAAUACUAUUCUCCAAGUCACACAAUGGAUGCUAGCUGUAGGAUUAUUAAAUGUCAUGACAAAUUGGCCCUGAAGUGAUGGUGAUUUAGCCACUGUACACACAGGUACAUGGUUCAGGAAUAUCAUGCAGAGCAAAGCCCCCUUAGGACGUGAGAGGGAAAGAUCCAAGCUAUCUGCUCACACCAGCCAUGACCUCAUCUCCCAGAGGCACCUCAGUCAUUUCUUCAAAUGUCAUCAUGAGAGCCACAUUUCCUUACUUGAAUUUGUCUGUAAAGCCUCUAGAAGUUGAGGUUGACUCAAACCCCUUUCACACAUGAACUUCUUAUUUCUCCAAAUUGUCCAGAAGGAUCCAGUGGGACUGAAAACAACCAUAUCUGGUGACCAAAACUUUAAAGUCCCUCUCUGAUAAUUUUUUUCUUUUACUACUUAAAGUGUUCUCAAUGGUCUUUAAAUCGUGAUUAUGAAGUUUUUACCAAAAAUUGCGUAACCUGUGUCAUUUUUAAGGGCUUUUCUUCUGCAGAGCUCCUGUAGAUCAUUAGCAGUUCACCUCUGAGUCGUGGGCAGAGACAGCGCAGCUCUGCAAACAUCUCAUCACGCUAGUAGAAGAAGCAGGUAACAUAGGAGCUAUUAAGCUCUUGGACACUAAUGUCUUUAGGGGGAUGAUGAAAGUUAAUAUCAUAAUUUGCUUUCUUACGACCAUUGCAAUUCACUAUUUUCAUUGGAAUUGGUCUUUAAGCAGGCUGACUGUCCCCUUUAUUAAGACCGUCCCUUUUUGGAUCUUUUAAACAUGUUAUUCCUACCUGUAAGAGGUCUUAAUCUUUGAUAAUGUGUCUGGAUAUUUGUUUAAAUCUGCACAAAAACUUGAAAGACAUGUUUAGUUUGAUAUCACAAAAGGUACAAGUCUGGACUAUUCAAGCAAACAGACCAAAUUUUGCCACAAAUCCUUAUUGAAAAGAAGUUCCCCUGCUUCAUACUCUAUACUGCUCAGCACAGUUGUCUGUCAUAUACUUCCUACUGCUGUGUUUGGGCUGUGAAGCAUCCUUGUGAUAUUUACCUAGAAGGAGAGCUCAUUACUGAAGACUGCUCCUCUUCCUCCUCCUGCAAAAUCGAUCAGAGUAUUUGAAGUCGUAUGAGCCCUUCCAGCACUGAAAAUCUCUCGCUGUGAUGUGCAUAUGUGAGAGGUAGCUGAGAGGGAAAUACUAGGACCUAGAUGUUCUGAGAUCUCAAAAAGGAAAGAGUAGGUGAAGAUCAAUGUUGAUUUCAUUGAUAAGAUAGUUUUCAAGCCCAACCCCUGAAGAGACAAUAGCCAAAUAAAAUCUAAGGCAUGAGGAUAAAAACAGUGAAAUAAUGGAUUGACACCUUUGACAACAAAUUAAUAUGGGGCAAAAACCUCUGGCACCGACUAGAUUUCACAAGUACAAACAUUCACAGGCUGCAGUGUUGCUUUACAGAUUUCGAUUAGCUAAUGGAAAGGAUGAGUUUAAAUGUUUAAUGACUAAAAUAUACUAUCAAGAGAAAAAAAAGACAAAAUUAUGAAUAAAAUACAUGGCAUUGUAGUUUAAUGACUCAAGCAAAUUUUUAAAAACUAAAAAAAAAUAUCACCAGUGAAUAGGUGCGAUGCCAAAAAAUAAAGGUUUUAUCAGUGCCAUGAAGUACUAAUAGCUUUUUUUUUUAUUAAAAAAAAAAAAAAAAAAAAAAAAGGAAUAAAACCGGAAAUGUAAUAACUCACACAAAAUGUAACAAGUUACUACAUUUUGCACAAAAAAUUAUAACAUUUUGGGCUUAGCUUCUUGCUACAUGAUCAACCAUUUUUAUUAAAUCAGAGUUCGUAUGCUAGUAUGGAAAGUAUGGGAAAGUAUGGAGGUAAUUUGAUCAAUUUCCAGGUUUUAAAAAGUAUGGUAAAUGAAAAAUAAAGUAUGAAAAAAUAUUUAUGUUAACAGACUAUAUUACCACUGUUAUAAAAUAAUGUUUUCUAAAAUAGAAAAGUAGGUAUUUCCAAAAAUAAUUCUAAAAGUACAGUAUGGAAAAGUAUUGAAAUUCCAACUGGGUAGGAACCCUGUUGAAUUUUGGGUCAUUGUUAGAUAUUGGGCUCAAACAACCUCAUACUCCUGUUUUAAACAGGACCAUGAUCGCUGGGUUGUUAGGGCAGUGUUACAGUUACAGUGUGUAACUUUAAAGUCAAGGUCAGGAUCAGGGCGAGAGCUGAAACUCUCACUUCUGAAAAUAUUUAUUUGAGCUGGUCUCUGAACAGUGAGUUAUAAAAGGCUCCGAUGACCAUGGAAUAUUAUGCAUUUAGUUGAAGAUUUAUAUGUAAUGCAAUGUUCCCAGAGAGACCACUUUUUAUGCUUAAAGCAAAAAACAACAGACCACACUAACACUCAACGCCCACAUCUGUCAACUCUUGGCCUGUCUCAUUAUCUAAGGGUGUUUACAGCCAAAUUCUGCAGUGUGACUUUUGCUGUGAUUUCAUUCAGAAUUAAUUAUAAAGUGUAAGCCACCUCGCAAAAAAGUUGUGUUCAUAAACAACAGAUUUGCAAUCUCAACUUUAUCACCAUUUGUGGUGAAAUGUUGUUAAAUAUCCAAUUUGUAAAGUCAUAAAUUGGUUUAUGCGAAUCUUAUCCUAAAUCUGAUUGAUGGCCAGUUAAUUUGUUAUUUCUAUUAAUAUACAGACAGUCUAGGAAUGGUUUUCCAGUGCCUUUUGAACAUACAGUAAAAACUACAUUUAAGUGAAGAGCUACAUCUGCUCUCCCUGGUUGUGCUGAGUGAGGACUCAGCUAAAACAAUGAUUCAGUUUGGUUUGCCUCAUUACACAUCUGACAUGUGGGCAGUUCACUUUGUUCAAGGGUAAGAUUUACCAAAUGCUUGCUUGCACUGUUUUAUGUCUCACAAUUUGUCUUGGGGAGCAAAUAAAAAAGCUACAAGCUUGUUGUGUUUGUUCAAGCAUGGCUGCUCAUCCAUCUGUCAGGGAAAGGCUCUAUAUUACCUUGAUCAUUUCAUUUUGUUAACACAAAAAUCAGCCGCUGCUGCUGGGGGAUAUGAAUCUACCAAGGACAGGAGAAGAAGAAAUGUAUGUAUGAAUGCCCUUUUUCAUGUAAUCACUGAUUCCAUGAUGUGACAUUUAUUUCAUAUUUAUGUUUUUUUGGUGUCAACUAAAAAAAAGGAAACAUUGACUGUAUUUUCUUCCUUUAUAAAAUGUUUGUUUUGAGUAGAGCUCCACAGAAGGUACAUUUUGCUAAGUGUUUUGGAUCUUAAUUUAGUCCUAUUCACUGGGGGAUGAUUGAUUCCUCCCAAAGUCAAGGUGACAUUAAUUACAGAGGUCCUCUCUGAUUGGGUAACAAAAGACGGUAACAUUUACUGAUUGGUUUGUGUUUGUCUGUCUGGAGGAAAAGACUGUGAGGUGAGCCAGCUUAUUUUUCCGACUUAUAAUCAAUUUUCCGCUUGUUGUCUGCAAAGCGUCUUUGGCAAUAUACCAUUUUUUCCUCUUCUGAGAUUUCCUUUGGUCACUGGGUGGAAUAAAUUCUUCUGAAAAAAUCACCAGCAGCCAUAUUUACCCGACCUUUUCACCAACACUGCUUACCGUCUGCACACACACAAAGCUGUCGGUGAUGAUAUGGCACCUCCUCUUUAAAUGAUGGUAUAACCAAACUAAUUAAUUAAAUAUGAAUUAGCUUAGAGUAAGAGUAAUGACUGUAAAAAGGGGUAUAGCUAUGAAAAAAUCAGUCUCAGCAAGGUAGGACAGGUUCAUCUUGUGAAAUGUCAAUUUACAAACCUAUAAAGGGUCAAUAAAUUAAUCACAUAACAUCAUCCAUUUCUGAUGAUUUUUAUUUGUGCUUAAUUUAUAUCAACCCCUAUGACAGACACUUAUUUCGAAAAGAAAAUUAUGCCUUAUUGGCCUGCAGUUAGGUUGUUUUAUUUUCCAUACUGUAGAAAAAUGCUUUCAUUUUGAAAUGAAGUAACCUGUAUGCACUACUUCUGGUAGAUCCUGUAUUACAGAACUGAACCAGGGCUUAAAAGUUGCUUAGAGAGUAGGAAUGUUUGUUAAAUUAGCACUCUCAAAAAGGCGUAAGGUCUUACAAAGUUUUCAGGUUACCACUAAAUCUUAGAACAUGAAUUCUUUUAAAUGUCUGCCCAUCUCUUAAAGGGCAACUUUCACUAGCUAGCAUGCAAGCUGUUUUCUGGCAACAAGCAAAAAGAAUCAUCUCCCAUCGACAACAGAUUAAAAAGAGGUUAUUGCCAUUACCUCUAUAUUUCUUCGUCCACUAAUUCUAUCAAAAACUAAGGUUCUCACCAGAUUGUCAACAGGAAGAAAUUCAGUCUUAAUAUUUUAGAAAUUUGCUGUUCUUCUUUUGGUGGAUUGAUUAUAAGGUGAAGUUUGCAAGAAUUUCUUUUCAAUUAUUCAGUUGUAAUGCUACUCAGUCAUCACCCAUGGGCCUCUGAGAGGUGGUGACUGUGCUCAGAGACUCUUUCCUCUUCCUGUAUUUUGAUGUUUGGCUUGACUCAGGAUGUUUCAGGGCGAGGGAGUGGGCCUGGUUACCUCAGCCAAUGACAACAUGUACAGUGCACAAGUGACUUUGGGAGUUAAAGAAUCUGAUUGGACCUAAUUCAAACUAUGUAAUAUAGUCCAAAUGAAAUCAAGGCUGUUUUUCCACACAGAAUUAUGCUUGUCUGAUGUGAUUUGGCGGUCACAUAUAAGGAUUUGUUGCUUCAUACUUUUUAUAUAUGUGGCUUAGUCCAAUACUGGCCUUCCAAUUGGAAGUUGAGGUCAACUUUCAAGGUACAUAACAAAACAUCCCUCUUCAGGUAGCUGCAGCACAUCACCUGCCCUGCACAGAGUACUGGGUGGCUGAUGGAGCAUCACCUGCUCUGUCUUCUCUCACUUCCAUCACUGUGAGCUUUGUAGUGAUCCUUUGUAAAAUUUACAUCCUUAUUUUGAUUCUCUUUCACUGCUCUGUAUUCAAUAACACAGCAGAAAAAAGGGACUCUUAGCCACUAAUGGGCUGUGUUAUGAAAUGAUAUAUAAUCUAAUAGCCACAAGGGGAUAUUUACUAUCAAUCUUUUCAAUAAUCUGCCAGAUGUUAUAAGCACAUAUUUGAGGAAAUAUUCUUGCUGUGUAUAUUCAGAAGUUUCUAUUAUUUCCUAACCACUCUACAAAUAAGUCAUGCAUGUAUAACAAAAACACUACGCCAGGUAACCCAAACUGAUCCCUGCGUGUGCCUGUCUCUGCUUUGUUCUGACCUGGGUUUAACCGGGCCUCACUUCCUCCACAGCGUGCCCUCACUUGGCCUUUACACAGGUGCUCUGCUCAUCCAUGAGACAUGAGUGGUUUAUGUCAGAAGACAAGACUACCUGCUCCGAAAUAAAGACACUGAGCUGUAUUGCUGUUGGCUUCUUGACAGAAAACAAAGCAGUGCAACUAGGCUGUGUUGUUGUCUUGAUAUAUAAUUGUUACUCUGUCUGCCAGCGGCUGAAGGUGAAACGCUUAGGCUAUUUGUAGCAAAUAACACAGCUGUUAGCAUAGCCAUCAACCAAAUGCACAUUGUCAUUUGAAAAGAUAAUAGAUUUGCUAAAAUAUUUACCUCAUUACUGUUUUCCAGCAAAAAGUCAAGUAUAAGGCUUUUAAAUCCUUCCGCAUUGCAAUAUGAUGCCACACAUGGUUAAAAAGCUAGGUGGGCGUGUUCAGAGGCAGAGUGAUGGGGCGGAGCUACAUUUGAAUGUUUAUCAACAUUACAAAAGUCAAUCAGUCCUGCAGACUCCACCUUUAAUAUUUUAUGUGUUAUCAGGGCUAUGUCCUGGCUAUUUGGCAUUAAACUCAUUGUCAAGAGGUUAUGACUAAUCAAGAUAAGGUACUUAACAUAGCUGGGUGUGGCACUAGCUUGAAGACUUUGAAUUUAGACACUUGAUAACAGUUUUUUAUAACCCCAAUCAAAACUACUUUGUGGCAUUCUCAAUUUCAUCAGAAUAUAAUCAUCAUCAUUUCCAGCCUUUUCUUCUCAGACUGGCUCUUUGCCAAUGUUUAAGAAACAUAUGUUUUCUGCACAUUUGCUCCUUCACCUAUUUAAACCUGUGAAUCAUCACCUAUUGCUGAACUAUCUGUUGAAAUAACGACCCUAAAUGUAGGGCUGGCCGAUAAAACGAUAACAAUAUAUAUCAAAAAUUAAUUUUCUUCAAUUUCGAUACAAGACAUGGUCAACAUCCUUUUCAAUCGCAGGCAUUCUGCAAUGUUUUGGUAGACUAUGCAAAUAGCCAAUGAAAAGGGGAGUUGCUCCGGGUUCGCUUCGCACUGAACCAAUCAUGUGCUUUAUUAGAACCAAGUAACAAACAACUGUGUAGUAGCAGGCUGCAGCUACACGUAACCAUAGCACUUUAACACGUGAAGCCAAGAGCACUGAAAGCCAACCACGGUUUGCUUUUUCUAGCGCAACGCAUUUUCACAAAACGUCUAAGAGACACAAUUUUUUUUUAUAUUGUGAUAUAUAUCAAUAUGGACUGAUAUGAAAAAAAUAUAUUGUGAUAAACUUUUCCUCAUAUUGCCCAGCCCUACCUAAAUGGGCUGCUAGAUAUGUUUAACACAUGCUUUCAUAUUAGCAAUGUCAUGCUGUGGAGUGACGGUGACAUAAAGGGACACUUUAUACACCAUGUAAUUUUUUAAAAUGUUUACGGUUUUACUUUCAGCACAAGAGGACAUGCAGUGAGUCUCCUUCAUUUUUCUUUUUAAUUUAACUCAACCAUUUAUGUUGGCAAAUAUUGUAGGAUGCACAUACCUUUUUAAAAAAUGUCAGUAGUAUUUGAAAUAAGAUAAACCCCCCACAUCAAAUGGUUACUGUGUUUGCAACAUGUGCUAAGAGUGAAUAUAAAGGCUUAGAAGCAAAACUGACAGGAAGCUAUAGUUUUAUUGUCCAAUAUCUUUGUUCUUGAUGCCUCAUCACUUUAAAUUUUCAUCAAUACUUUCCCUGACAUUUAUGCCCUUUGAUCAGCAUUUCGUGUAUAAAUCUUUUUGCAGGCUGGUGUAGGAUUUGCUCGUCUUUGAAGGCUUUGAUUCAGCUCCCACACAUGAGCCUGAUAUUACAGGAAACGGAUUUCGUGGAAUUGCAACCAGCAAUAAAAAAAAGGCCAAGAUCUAUUAAGAUAAGACGUAGAUGAAAGAUAAUAUAAAACUUAAAUGAUCCCCGUUGGGAAAUUAGGUCAGAUACCAGAACGCAUUAGGCGGCAAUAAAAGACUUACGGCAUGAAAUGUGAGAAAAGCAGUGAAAUGGAAGUGUGUGUAAAUGGCUGUACAAAACUUGUGCACACACACACACUAAAACUUGUAAUGUACACACUAAGUCAUUUACAAAUACAAAAAAAAAUUGUCAAAAAGUAUCAGAGUAACAAAGACUGAGAAGCUGUUCAGUUUCCCCUUUUACUACAACAUGAGGCACAUAGAAGAGCACUUAUUUGCAAAUCUAAAAACUUAUAUCAGUGUCUAUAAGAACCCUAAUUUUAGCACCAUCCAACCUCCACCUAUGUUUUGGCUGUUUUUCAAGUGAUAUUGAGUAAGACACAGCUUGUGGGUGUUACUUUUUACACAGCUUUGUAAUUGCAAAAUGACUAAAAAGUACAGAAAAUAUCUGAGGCUAACCACCAGCUGAAUUUAUUUGUCACUAUCAGGUCGAUGGAGUCAGUCUCCAAUGCCGUAGUGAUAUCUCGCAAUAUUCAUUUCUUCUUAAGGACAUAAUUCAUAAAGCAAUUCAUCCAUUAUGCAUGCCACUUAACCUGUUAAAGGUGGCAGGCUGGAGCUGAUUUCAACAGGGGACACCUGUCACCAGUCACAGGGCAUGAAUAAUCAGUAACACUCAAUCUAACAGAUCGGGGUGAUAAGCUUAUUUAAAUGGGCUCUGGGAGAUGACUUCAGGUUGCCAUGAUGUGACCAGUCUUACCGCACAGUCACAGGGAACAACAGUGUUAUACAUGGAGGACCUGAAACGGAGAAAGAAACCUAAGUAGAACUUUUGGAAAGUGCAAAUGAGGGACCACUGGACAUGAUCUUGGAAUAAUGGCAACACAUACUUUCAAUAAGCUAAGAUUUUUGACAUGGACUCCUGCGUAUUUCUAGGUGUCUAACAGGUGUUUUUGUGUAAUGAAGAUGACACUGUGUGAACCUCACACCCCACAGAAGAGGUUUACCAGCUGGUCCCAGUACACAGACUGAUUUAAGUCCUAUCAAUCAACCUUUUUACUAUUAAGACCUCCCAGCCUGCAGUGCCUCUCCUAGCAAAGAGUGGUUAAAGUUUAACAGUCACAGAAUAAUAUCUGACUGAGAAGGAAAUCAAUCUAAGAAAGGCAAAGUAACUUGUUGUUAGCAUGUUGUUAUCUGUGUACUGAGUCCACUUGCCUCAGGUUAUGCUACCCUCAAAACAUGCCCCAUGGACUUGGGCGCACACCUAUAGAUGGGGCAAAACUGGAAACACAUGAUUGGUGGGUUUUUGGAGUUGGCCUUUUCCCUCCUUUCUGAACACUUUUCCUUCCGUCUUUAUCUUUCAUUAUCUCUGUUUAGCUCCUACCUCAAUUUUUUGUUUGUUUAGAGCUUUACAACUCUUAAAUGUUUUUCAUACAUAACAGUCUAGUUCAAGUCUGUAAUUUAUUCCUUUUCAAGUUCCCAAAGGUAGUUUUGAAAGUAGUACCAGCUGGCGAGCAUGAUCAUUUUCUUACUGAUCUGCAGGAGUUAGUCUUUUUAGAAGUUUGACUAUCUUUGGGACUACAACAAAACCCCCCUCCAAGAUCCAGCUUUAUGAACCAGAACCAGAUGCAUAGCCAAUACAAGGCAGAUCGGAGUGGCAUCAGCAGUAAUGCUGACGUUUAACCGAUCUGUCGUGGUGAAGAAAGAGCCAAGCCUAAGGCGAGAUUCUCGAUUUACCAGUCGAUCUACAUGCCGGCCCUCACCUAUGGUCAUGAACUUCGGGUAAUGACCGAAAAUGACCCAUUUCAAGCAGCUGAAAUGGGUUUCCUUCGCAGGAUGGCCAAGCUCAGCCUUAGGGAUAGGGUAAGGAGCUUGGACACUAGGGAGGCCCUCAGAGUAGAGCCGCUGCUCCUCCACGUCAAGAAGAGUCAGCUGAGGUGGCUCAGGCAUCUGGUUAGGAUGCCUUCUGGACACCUCCCAUUAGAGGUGUUCCGGACAUGUCCCACCGGGAGGAGACCUCGUGGCUGGCCCAGGACCAGUCGGAGGGAUUAUAUGUCUCGCCUGACCUGGGAGCACCUGGGAAUCCCCCCUGAGGAGCUGGUGGAAGUAACUGGGGUGAGGGCUGUCUGGGCUUCCCUCCUGAAGCUGCUGCCCUAAUGACCCAGACCCAGAUAAAUGACGGCGCAUAGCUAAUACAGCCUUAAUUUUUGCUUUGGCUAUGAAUGGUCUGAUUUGUUAUUGUGCACACUAUCAUGAAAACUAUGCUAUUUCACAGCCGUAAUGCCGUCGUCAUGCAUCAGGCCUCAAGACAGCUUUGUGAGCGAACAAAUAGGUUAGUAAAUUAGUAAAAUAGUUGUCCUUCUUCUUACUUUCACCCUAAAUGUUUCCUCAAAAACAUGACCACACUUUGGCAAUAUUCGCACACUUGUGCCCCACUCAUGCUCUGUAUAUGACCUGACUCUUGUAUGUAGAGUAAAACAACUCUCUAUUCCUGUUUCAUGAUAACUUUUGAUAAAAUUCCUUUUUUCAUGAUUCACAAGAGUGGAGUUUGGAUGUCCCCUCAGCUGUGAUUUUCAAAAACACAGCAUAAAAAAAAGGGGGAUGAUAACAGCCUCCCAUCUUGUUUGUUGUUGUCAAGGUUACUCUCCUCAUUCAUCAUGAUCAGAUGCCACUUUGUAUUGACCGUGUCACUCAACGUGGAAAUCAGAAGAGAGCAACUCAAACUUCACACUGAGAGUGAAGUUAUGAAUUGAGGGCACCCUCAGAUACUCUGUGCUCUCUUCCAUCUCCUUGGUGUCUCUUGCUGGUAAUUUAGUCAGGAAAUUGCUUUGUAUUUGUUUAUGAACCAUGCAGUCCCAGGUGAGAUUAAUCCAAAAGGAGACACAACACAAAAGAAGGUCGUCCACCUGUGGUGAUGACUGUUGUUUCAGUGUCUUAGUUUUUCCAGCCUUUCUCUUUCCCUCUCUCCAUUUCCACUUCAGAAAAUUCAGACAAGGAAUACUAAUCAAGCUGUAUCAUAGCACCGGAGGAUUGACCUGCUCAGGAUAACACUGAAAUUACUCUUCACCUUUAUAGAACAGCCGGUGCUCAAGGUCCCUCACACCAUCCCAGCCUCUUGAUAAUAUAGAAGAUAAUCCUGCAUGCGCCUACAGAUCUGCAGAGAGGCUUAUUUUCUUGUAAUUGGCAAAUGAAAAGGUGAUCGCAGCACUCAAUCUUCCCAGGGGAUUUCCUCUUGCUCUCCAUGUCUGUCAGUUAUAUUCUGAUUCAUCAGGUUGACCUUUCAGUGUUCAGGCCUGAGUAGUUAUUAGAAGAUUCAUCCCUGACCCUCACAUCUAUUACGGCCAUCGUAUAACUGUCGUCUUUUCCAGCAGCCCCUGAUGACUGAAACACAAUCUGCAAUUCAAUUUUACAGUUUUAUUAUCAUGUAGAAAAUAUGAUGAAGGCUGUACCAAGGCUGCUUUUUUAUGCAACUGCAAUUUUACAGUUGAAUUUCAAUAUUCAGACAGAACAUAUAAAAGGUUGUUCUCAUUCAUUGUUCAGACUACCAAGAGUAAUGAACUCAAAUUGUAAUUAUGCAAUAUUUCUAGUGAAUACUCAAACAUGAUUGACUGUAGGGAAAAUGGAGACGCACCACAUUUCUGAUAACUGACUGUGAAAAAGAUUAGAUUGCAUUCAUACGUAGAUAUCAGCAGGGUUACAUAAGUAAAGGAAUCAUUAUUUUCUAGCUUGUUUGUUCAGUUUUAGACCUGAUGCCCAUGAACCCACUGUAGGCAGGGGUCACUAGGUGCAUGAUUUCCACUGAGCAGUCUGAUACAGUUUAGUACAGUACACAGAUAUUUGCAUUUUCAUUUAAAAAGUUGGUAAAGUUGCCAAAUAACCGACCUGUACUGUCCUUUUUUUAUUUGGCAGCCUUCUGUCAGGGUUCCAGGCUUAUCUAUCUAAUCCCAACCUGCAAUGUUUGAGAAGGCGUUACACUGAAUUGUAACUUUCCUUUCCUGAUUUUAUACGAUCAUGAACUUUUGUACCUUCAUAAGUAAUGUCUGUUUUAUGCAUGCCUUCAUUUAUGUCAAAGGCAAUGCUGUUGGGGGUUUAUAUUUGAGAGUUUAAUUCAAAAACAGACACCAGCUGAGCAGAGAGGGGGGCACAGAGAUUAAUGCAAAAUGAGAAGGAGAGGAAGUCUGCAAAGGAUGAAAUAUUUCCUGUAGUCUGAUGUUAUUUUAAAGUCAACAUCGCUUGAUUUUACCAACAUGUAGCCAACAUGACAAAUAACUUUUGUCCAACCUAACGUCUGGUUCACACUGGAAGCGCCGCGCGCGGAACGGAAGCGCCGCGCACAGAGUUUCAGAUCGGCGCCCAUGUUAACCUAUGAGACUGUUCACACAGCACGCGCGCGGAAGCGCCGCGCGCGGAACGGCUCGCGCUCUGGAGCGCGGCUGCUCCGCUUCUCUCUAUUUUUGGCGCGAGCCGCGCGCGCCGAUGUAAAGCUCAACAGAGCAGAUCGGACCAGACAGGAAGUCAGGAAGGAGAUGCGAGAGAAUCCGGUCAAUUUUCAAAAUAAAGUAAAUUUCAAUAAAUUAGAAAAAGAUUGACGGUGUUGCUUGUCGGUCUAUUUUUUUUACCGAUGAACACACACACACAAACACACACACACACACACACACACACACACGGAGGGAGAGCUGCAGAGAUUCAGUGAUGUUAUUGAGACAAAGAGGGGGGGGACUUUAUUACGAUACAGUCAAUAGCCUCGAGCUAACAAGGCUAUACAUACAACGGAGUCAACAGACUCCCCAAUUUAUUCGUCGUUUACCCCUAUAUAAUAAUUUAAAACAAUACUUGAAGAUGCUGUCAAUAUUUAAUUCAUGUAUGACGAAAUAAAAACGUAAAUAAAUAGUGAUUUACCCAUUUUUAAAGCGCUCGUAAGUGUGGAAAACUGAGGGCAGACGGAAACGGCCGAGCACUACCGGGCUCAGUCGAUGUCUGACCGGCAUGUCAGAGCGCAGCAGAAAGCGCUUCCUGUGUGAACAGCCAAGCGCGAGCCGGCGCUGCGCGCGCGCGCGGCGCUUCCGUUCCGCGCGCGGCGCUUCCAGUGUGAACCAGACGUAAGUGCACCGCAGGCUUAAAAGGAAUAGCAAUACAACUUACCUCAUUCACCAUAUUAGGCACAACUUCGGGAUGAAGCAAGGAGAGAUCAACAUUCUGUAGGUGAAAUCACAAUACAUUUUUAAGGGUUAUGACAUGAACAUAGCGAAUACAGAAUGAAUUCAGCCUUAUAGUUUUUCUGCUGAGAUCCAUACAGCUUGCGGGAAAAAAAAUCUGGUGAGAUCUACUGCUCACACUUGCUGUUUUAAUGAUUUGAAAGGUUAGGGUGCAGCCUGCCAUGGUGACACAAUCAAGUGUCUAACUGUGCUCAUUCAAACUGUACCCUUUUGUGGAAAUGUACCAUAUAGUAGGCCUGAACGAUAUAUCGUUUGACUAUCGUCAUCGCGAUGUACGUGUGUGCGAUAGUCACAUCGCAGAGCCUGCGAUAUUGGAGGCGAAUGAACUCAUUUAAUUUCAAGGGUAACCGACUGAGAUACACUCCAUGUGACUCUGCAUGUGCUGUGCAGCGAUCCACCAAUCGCCUUCCUCCUUAACUCAGUUGCCAAUCAGACUCACUUCUCAGUUGCCAAUCAGACUACCCUGCCAGCUGUCAAUCAAAAUCAGGGCGGAGAAAACCCACCCCUGCACAUGUUCUGCACAUGGAGGGAGACGUGUGUCCGCUGAGAAUUACUUUCGGAACUUUACUCAUGACUGUUUAGCCCAACAAAUAAGAACUGUAUGGGUUUUAAAUUGUACAUUUCCGUGGACCACUCUACUAUAAGCAGUGCGCGUUUUGCGAGGUGCAUGCAAUUCUCGGAGGACAUGCGUUUCUCGGCACAACACCGCUAACAACAACAACAACGAUCGCAAAAUGAACAACGAACAAGCGAAAACCACCGAAAAUGAAGAUUUGUUGCCAAAAAGAAAAGGAAAGUCGGUUAUCUGGAAUUAUUUCGGUUAAAAGAAGGAUGAUGUCGACCAAAACACGUCUUCUGUGUUCACCUGUUGCCACAAUAACGUCCCAGCACAAUAAAAGCUAAAAAUAUCUCUGAGACAGACAGAAGCCGUUCUACUAACAUUCACAAAAAGAGGUAAGAUCAGAGCAGAUUAACUGUCCUCAAGAUUUCAGCAGUGCAGCAUAACUAUUCAGGUCAUCUGGUGAAAAUACUGUAUUUUUAAUAUCGCAAUAUAUAUCGCAGGGUUGAAAAAAUCGCAGUAUUAUUUUUUUCCAAUAUCGUGCAGCCUUACCAUAUAGUACAUUAUAUUCCGUUCAAUCAAAGCCAGCAUUCACUUUUCCAUAGUUUUGAGCUCCAGUAGUGCUCAGACCACACAGGGCAGCUUUCAAUAGGAACACUGAUCAAUUAGCCUUGUGUGCCCAUGGUGUUAAUACUUAACCCAUUUCCCUUAUUAUAUUAUUAUAUAUAUAUAUUUCUGGUAGAUAUAAGCAACUUCUGAAAAGUAAAACCCCACAAAAGCUGCUGCCAUGGAGGUUUCUAGCUCAGUCUUGUAUGCAUAUGAGGAGGUCUGAUGUCAUAUUACAGUUUAAGAUGAAAAGCACUGAAAAAGAGUGUUACAGGACAAACAUGGGAUUGAUUUGGGCUGAUUGAGGCAUUAAAAUGUGGC
This is a non-coding RNA of Xyrichtys novacula (pearly razorfish), 50665 nucleotides long. NCBI's taxonomy places the organism in Eukaryota, Metazoa, Chordata, Actinopteri, Labriformes, Labridae. The record is from the annotation of a GenBank genome assembly.